ACAAAUAUACUAUUAGAGAUGUGUUCUCCCAAGGACAAAGGGCAUCUUGAUGCAAGAUGGGAGGCUUAGAAUUAUUUAUAAGAAGAUUACACGUGCGUUGCACGUGCAAACUUACUAGUUCAUUCAAAGGAGCAGGCCAGGGCCGAUGCUUUUUCAGCUUCAAAUUACCCUGUUUACAACAAAGAUUAUGAAAUAUGCUUCUCUGAGACAAAGAGCUAAGAUGUGUCGCCCUUUCUUCAAACCAAAUAACAGCACCACAAUAGGAGCAAGUAUAAUCUGGACAGCCAAGGUAAUUCCUCUUCCUAUAAGAGGCUACAACCAAAACACGACGACCAGAAUUGCGGACAAUCAGAUCGAAAUAAACCCGGCAACAAAAGAAGCGACCACAAAGCACAGACACAACAACAAAGAUACCCCUGGCUAACCUUUCAAAUAAGCCACGUACUGUCUAGACAUAUAAGGAACCCGGCCAACAGUGAAUCUCGGCACCUGUACACCUAGAACAGCAGUAAAACAUCCAAAAAUACCAACAGGAAGAGUGAGCCCAACAGAUCCAAACAGAAAGCACCUACAACCAACGCAGAAGGAAGAGUUCACCAAAGAGAUGAAGCCUGCGCCGAAUCCGCCACUUCAUGCAAUUCUCUCUAGCCAUCAAAUGGAUAUCCUAUAACAACCUAUGAUCAGCCCAACCCAAUGCACAUAUGUACCAUGAAUACACACAGAACAAAAAUCAAAUAAACAUAUACCAGCAGGUCGAUUAGUGACAACCAGCAGAGCAUGAACCAUAACAACACUGGCAGCCAAUCAAGGACAAACAGUCCUUGCAGCACUGCUGCUGCCAGGAAAAGAAUCGCUGUUCCCAGAAGCUGCUACUAUUGAAGGAGCAGACACGCAUGAAAGCACGGCCCAAACCACACAACGGAACACACAUAUAGAAACUAAACAGCAUACUACGCCGCUUUCUAACAGCAGAAGAUGGAUGGCCAUCUCUUUCAGCCAUAACAGACCAAGAAAGAGACCUAAAUACACAGACAUCACAGAAAAUAAAUUACUGCAGAUUAAACCAUAUGGUUAACAUCUGAAAGAACACACACCAAGAUUGGACACAGAAGGUAGCAACAAUAAUCAGCCGGAUCCAAUCGAAGCCCCAGGUCCACCACGCAGGAGAGGAAGGGACGACUGGUACGCAGCAGCAAAAUUUUCUCACCAACGGGAGCGGCAAGACAAUCAGAGCACCGCUGAAAAAACCGGGCCCCUUCCAAACCGACCUGACACAAACCGCAUGACCACCGCAUACCCGCAGCAAGCACAGCACCCCAUCGAUCGGCCCACACCCCAUACACGCAUAAAACUUGGGAGGGAUUUAUUUUAUAUUCUGAUCCAAAACAAGUUAACUGUUUUUGUGUGAAAACUCAAUAGUGUUCAGAAAAAGUAUUGAGCGUAAAAAUUACAAAAAUGCUCGUCCAGUUGUAUACUAUGGUACAAAGGUAUUUACCUCUCAAUUUCAUCCAUAGCAUCCAAAUUCUUGCGGAUCUCCAGCAUGCUCGCAUCAAACUCAGCAGUCAUGCGCUUUAUUUCCUCACGCUGUUUGGCCAGCGUUUCAUCAUCAUCAGAAUAAGCCACUUGUCCCCCCUAUAAAAAUUUGAAGGACAUUAGUAAAUACUAUUACAAAUACUAGAAAUUCACAAAGAAGUUGCAAUUGAGUACAGUAUUGCCAGAACUGCAGAAUUCUGAUUUGGGAAACAAUAAUCCACACUGUCCCAGAACUGAAGAAUUCUUCAGUUAACGGGAGGACCAAAUUUUCUGAUUUGUGAAUGUUUUGAAUCACAUGACCUGGGAAUAACAUCUGCUAGAUUAUCUAUAAUCAGUCAAUUACUGCCAAGUAUUUCAAUUCAAUUUCAUUGCAAAUUUCUGCUGUCAGAUCAUAGAUUAGGAGUUUAUACAACAAUUUGGCUGGAUCAAAGGUUAAUCCUACUCGCAGGAUCAGAGGCGGGGGCAGCCGUCAGCGGCAGAGAUGGGGGCGUCGGCGUCGCCCACCAGCAGUAGCAGCGGCAGCAGCAACCACCAGUACCUGUUCGUGGAGACGGCUAGCUUCGGCGAGGCGCAGGCGACGGGCGGCGAGGGAGGAGGGAGAGCGGGGAAGGGACCCGGCGGCGGCGGCGGCGGCGGCUAGGGUUUGGCACGUACCGUCGUUGAGAGGAGGCGCGCCGCCGGCGAAAGCCCCUGCACCACCGGCGACAUGCGGCCGAGGGCCGGCGACCCGCGGCCGAGGGACGGCGCCGCCUUGCGGAGGAGGGACCGGAUCGCCGCCGCCAUCAGCACGAGCGGAGGAGCGGUGGUUGGGGGAGGAGCGUCGACGAUGUUUUCCUCUUUUGUUUUCCGGGGCCGACCAGCGCUCAAGCGACUGAGUCCAUGGGCCAGCGCUCAACAACAGCAUGUAUAGUAUUCCUUAAAUGUUCAAGAAAUGUAAAAAAUUGUUCAUGUAAUUUGCAAAAGUGUUCACAUCAUUCAAAAACAAUGUCCACGCAUUAAACCUAUACUUAUGACAUUUUAAAAAAGUGAUCAUACAGCAUGAAAGGUUGUAAAAUUUUUGUACCAAUUCAAAAACAAAUAUGUUCCUGUAGUUUUCAGAACGCUGGCGUGUUUAGAAAUAUGUUCAUGGUCUUUUUAUGAAGUGUUGUGAAAAUCUAGAGUUUUUCGCGCAAUCUGUAAAAAAUAUUUGUACCAUUCAAGGCUAUUCGUGAAAUUUAAGAAACAUUCACGGGUUUGAAAAUGUGUUUCGUGAAUUUUUUAUAAAAUGGUCUUCAAGUGAAAAACUUUGAUCGCGCAGUUUUUAAAAAUGGUCAUAACAUAUCAAAAAAAACCAUGACAUUAAAAAAUGUCCAUAAACACUUAAGAAAUAUUCACACAUUUCUUUUAAAAGUUCAUGAUAUUUUUGGAAAAUUCUUUGCGUGUUAGAAAAUGUUCAGUUUGUAUUACAAAUGUUCAAUGUGGAUUUUACAACUUUUCACCGUGUAUUUCAAAUAAUUAUUUAUAUUGCAUUUGAAAAAUGUUUAGCCUGUAUCUGAAAAAUGGUCAAAAUGUAUAUACGAAAAAUGUUCAAUGAGGUCGACAUGUAUUUAAAAAUAAGAAGAAGAAAGAAAGAAAGAAAGAAAUCAAAAUAACGAGGAAAACCAAUACAAAUGAGAGAGAAAACACACGAAAAAAACACGUGAAAGAUUUUGGGAGGUCAUUGACUUGAGAGGCUUUCAAAUCCUACCUCCGCCGAGGAAGGCAACAUCCAAGAAGAAUAGGAAAAUGAAUAUGAGACAAUGGCGCCUCCACAUCGUGUAAAUCUAGAUGGCAACAAGCCAAAAGCCAGUAGGGAAGCAAACUUAGGGAAUAUAUAUAUAUGGACAUCGUGGAGUGGGGGCCGAUCCCUUCCCCCAUCCUCUUCCGGCCAGCAAAACUGACGGAGAGAAGAGGGAGAGGAGGCAGCGGAGUAGACGGAAAGGGGAACGAAUGCGUGAGCAGGAGGAGAGAGAAAGAAAUGGGGAAAAUCACGGGGUUUGCACCUCUUGAAUGGGUUGGUGAUGCCCCACCAACAUAGACCACGGAUCAUGCACUACCUCAAGAACUCAAGGGCCCUCGUCCAGAAAAACGAGCACCAUACCAUUGCUUCAUCAAGAGCGAGAGGGGCAAAGGGAAAUUGUUAGAGAUCCCGAUGCUCAAGGCAGGGGCCACGGCGGCGCGGGCAUGCGACAUACACGUGCAUGGUCCGUCGAAAUCCUGUUUGUGACAAUGCAAGGGCGCAAUUUUGUCAUUUUUUAUGUCUUAGCAGACAAGUUGAUUGUUUCUUGUUCGGCAAGUAUACGACUUGGAAACUAAGUCGGUUUGAGAUCGUGAUCGCGACACGAUACCUCUUCUUUGGUAGUCCUCUAUAUACUGCCUACCGGCCACGGCCAAAGAGACACCAAAAGCCACCUAGGAUUUUGCCUCAUCUCAUAACUUGCACUACUGCAAGAUGCUCCUAACGUGACACUACAAUCAGAGACCCUUCGACGAAACUGUGUGCGAUGCAUUAAUCACAAACGGUGCUGUAAUAAAACUGUAAAAAUGAUGUGAAACGUCUGCGAUGGUGGAGACAUCAAACACGAUUCAGAAUAUAGUUGCGUGUGCGCUGCACCAAUAUGGGUUACGCCACUGUCGGGAAGGAAGGAAGCGUCAGUGUUCAACUUGACUGUUCCCGAACCAGGGGGUUUCCACUGGAUGGUACUAACAGUUUUAGGAUCUCCCGUUAGCAGGUUGGACGGCCCUGCCUGAAUUGACGCAGGUGCACUAACAUCCAAUGUCUGCCCUGCAAGCCCCUGCUUGCCUUUAUCAUUUUUGACAACAUCCCUGUAUCGACAUCCGAUCAGUUCAUAUUCAUACUUCUGAAGGAAGAAUACCGAUCGACUAAUUAGCUCCUUUCAUUCGUUAUGAACACAAUCAUCCCGAAGAAACCAGCUUCGCCACAGUAGCAGGAGAAUUCUUAACCUCAUCUCAGUGCUGCAUGGGUUAAGAAGGUUCUGCAACCAGUCCACCCCCAUGUAGGUGAAAUGGUUUUCUGAAGGAAGAUUCCAGACUCCUCGCAUUUCAUUCCUUAGCACCUGUUGGGAACGUGGCGUGCAAUUUCAAAAAAAUUCCUACGCUCACGCAAGAUCUAUCUAGGAGAUGCAUAGAAACGAGGGGGGGGUGUUUCUGUGUGUUCACAUGAUUAUGCUACUGUAGUAAUCAUGUUUUAUAGCUUUUGUUUCAAUAAAGUGCCAAGUAAAGCCUUUGGGAUAGUGUGGAUGAUAGUUGACUUGAUUCUGUGCAAAAACAGAAACUUUUGCUCCCAGUCUAGGAAUUUUGAAAAUUCACGAGAAUGUGCUUUUGAUCUGGAAUUUUUACACAAGAUUGAUAUACAAAUUGUCUACGUUGUCCUAAUUUUUUUAAAAAAAAAUUGAGUUACAGAGGUAUGGAAAGUUUCCAGAUUACUACAAUCCGUUCUGUCUUAAACAUAUUCUGUUUUCUAUGUGUUGUUCGCUUAUUUUGAUGAAUCUAUGAGUAGUAUCGGAGGGUAUGAACCGUGGAGAAGUUGGAAUACAUUAGAUUGUACGAUCGAAAGUAUGUCUAGAGGGGGGGUGAUUAGACUACUUGACCAAAAAUAAAAAUCUAGCCUUUUCCCAAUUUAGUUCUUGGCAGAUUUUAGCAACUUAGCACAAGUCAAGCAAUCAACCUACACAUGCAAUUCUAAGAGUAUAGCAGCGGAAUGUAAAUCACUGCAUAUGAAGGUAAAGAGGAGGAGUUUGGAGGGAGAAAACGCAAUGUUGACACGGAGAUUUUUGGCGUGGUUCCGAUAGGUGGUGCUAUCAUACAUCCACGUUGAUGGAGACUUCAACCCAUGAAGGGUAACGGUUGCGCGAGUCCACAGAGGGCUCCACCCAUGAAGGGUCCAUGAAGAAGCAACCUUGUCUAUCCCACCAUGGACAUCGCCCACGAAGGACUUGCCUCACUAGGGUAGAUCUUCACGAAGUAGGCGAUCUCCUUUCCCGUACAAACUCCUUGGUUCAACUCCACAAUGUUGACGGAGGCUCCCAAGUAACAGCUAACCAAUCUAGGAGAUACCACUCUCCAAAAGGUAAUAGAUGGUGUGUUGUUGAUGAACUCCUUGCUCUUGUGCUUCAAAUGAUAGUCUCCCCAACACUCAACUCUCUCCCAAAGGAUUGGAUUUGGUGGAAAGAUGAUUUGAGUGGAAAGCAACUUGGGGAAGGCUAGAGAUCAAGAUUCAUAUGGUUGGAUUGGAAUAUCUUGGCCUCAACACAUGAGUAGGUGGUUAUCUCUCAGAAAACGAAUGCUGGAAGUGUAGGCAUGUUCUGAUGGCUUCCCUUACGAAUGAGGAGAGGGUGGAGGGGUAUAUAUAGCCUCCACACAAAAUCUAACCGUUACACACAAUUUAUCAAACUAGGUGGGACCGAAUCAUAAAACUCGGUUAGACCGAUUUAGUUCAUAAUGUGACUGUUAAGCAUUUCAGUGGAACCGACACGUCAACUCGGUUGAACCGAUUUUGUUAGGGUUAGGGCAUAACGUAAUCUCGGUUGGAUCGAUUACACAAACUUGGUGGGACCGACUUUGGUAAUUAGCUAACCAGAGAGUUGGCCAGGCAAACUCGAUGGGACCGAUUUGCUCAUUUCGGUGGGACCGAAACAUUACGAAAGGGAAACAGGGAGUUUGCAUUGCGAACUCGGUGGGACCGAUCGCUCAUCUCGGUUGGACCGAAACAUUACGAAGGGAAACAGAGAGUUUGCAAUCCCAUCUUGAUGAGACCGAGAUCCCUAUAGGUGAGACCGAAGUGACUAGGGUUUCUGGCAGUGGCUAUGUCAAAUGAACUCAGUGGCGCCGGAUGGAUCAAAUCGGUGGGGCCGAGUUUGACUUUUGGUUUGGGACAUAUGUGGAUAUGAGAAAGUGGUUGACGGUUUUUGGAGCAUAAAGCAUUUUGAGCAAGCAAGCCAUUAAGCAACACCACAUCCCCUUUUAAUAGUAUUGGCUUUUCCUAAAGACUCAAUGUGAUCUUAGAUCACUAAAAGUAAAAUGUAGAGUCUUGAUCUUUAGAGCUUGAGCCAAUCCUUUGUCCUUAGCAUUUUGAGGGGUCAACAAUCCUAAUCCAUGCCAUGCCAAUCGUUGAACUUUCCUGAAAUAUUAAUCUUGAAAUAGCAUUAGUUCAGUGAGCUAUAUGUUGUUAAUCAUUACCAAAACCACCCAGGGAUAGCUGCACUUUCAAUAUCCCCCUUUUUGGUAAUUGAUGACAACAUAUAGAUCAAAGCUUCGACAAAAGAUAAUUAGAUUGAAAUACAUCGUCGCUUUGAAAAGUAUGUGAUAAGCAAGAGCUCCCCCUAAAUUUGUGCAUUAUUUAGGAUUUGCUUUUGAAUGCAAAUGCACAAUCGAUUAGUAUCAUGGGUUACUCUUCCAUGUCACAUACAUCUUGGUGGAGCGCUCAAAAUGAUAACAAUUAAAAACAUGCACUCAUCACCAAGCAAAGUGAAUGACCAUAUAUGGAUACAAGAGAUAAUGUCAUUCAUGCACUCAUUAAAGUAGCAUGUGAUCAAACACAUGAUCAUCCAAGUAUCUCACAAAAGGACAUAAUGUAUCAAGCAAACACACAUUAAAGUUCAACCAAAUAAAGUGCAAGAGAGACAAAAAGCAACACUCUCUCUCUCUCUCUCAAAGACUAUGAUCUAUACAUAUUUCUCCCCCUUUGGCAACAAGUUACCAAAAAGUUCAAAUAUGCAUAGUGUUAUGCGUCUCUCAGGCUUGAUCUCCAUGAGGUGGGGUAGUGAUGACUCCAAGAAUGAAGGCUUCAGUUGAUGUAGCUGGAGUUUCUGGAGUGGCUGCUGGAGGCGACAUUGAAGCUGUGGCUGCUGGUGCUGAUGUAGUAGCUCAUGUAUCUGGAACUGGCACUGCAGCAGACCUCUGACCUCUUGGCACAUAUUGAAAAGCUUCUGUAUAGUUGCCUUGCCUUUCUUCUCCUCUGCUUCCUCCUGGAGCUACUCAACUACUGACUGAAUCUCAGUUACUUUUACAUCAAGAUCAUAGAAUUUUUGCUCAAUGAUUCUCUCCAAACUCCCCUGAUUCUGAGUCAGUGUGGCCAAGCCCUUCUCAAUCCUCAAGGUAGAUUGAACCAGAAAUCCAAGUUGAUCUUGUUUGCUCUUCAAGAACACCUGAGAUGCCUCUUCGGCACUUGGCAUCUUUGCAUCCUUCUCUGCCCUUGCCUUUGCUCUCUUCUCAUGUGCUUGCACUGAUGAAGGGUCAUUCUCAUCCAUCACAACUGUGUUAUCUUCAAAAUCUGGCUUGAGAGGUAAGUGCUCCUUGUCCAACAAGUAAGUGCCUGUGCCUAUCUUUGAGUUGAUGAGCACCUGAAUUUGUGGAGCAUACCCACAAGACCUCUUCUGAUCAGCAGUUGUCCUCUUGAUUGUUUCUACAAUUAGACUCAUCACCUUGAAUUUCUGAGGGACAUAAAAAAUGUGCAGCAAGUUGAUUGAAUGUCCUCUUAUCAUCCUGUGAUCUCCAGACUUGGGCAAAAGAGUAUGCCUCAGGAUGGUGUUGAUUGUAGGUAGACCAGACAAUAGAUACUUUACUGAGCCCAACUUAUGAGUUUCCAGGUCUUCAUCAGGAAUUUCCUUGUACAUACUUGCCAUUGAGUUGUGGUCUUUCUUCUUCUUGGCAUACACAUCCAAGUCAUCCUCAUGAGUUGCUGGGGCAUUUAUCAACUUGGCCCAUUCGUCAACAGUUGAUUGGUACCUUGUACCUUCUGACAUCCAUACUCCUACCAUCUGGAUAGAAGUGAGUAGUGGAGUAGAAUUGCAUGAUCAGCUCAUCAUUCCACUUGGUGAGCUUCUGUCCAACAAACUUGUCAACUCCACAAGCCUUGAAGCUAUCAUAUAUACCUGGGAAGUGAUCUUCAUUCUCUCUCAUGUAUGUCCAGUCAACCCAUCUCAUGUCACAGACAAUUGGCUUCUUGUCAAGCAGAAUGGUCUCAUAGAAGUCUUGUUGUUCCUUAGUGUGGAACCUGUAAUCCACUGCAGUUCUCCUUCUCACAGCAUAAGGAUCACUUUUCCUCCAAAGUCUCAUACCUGCAUCCUUCCUGAUGCUCAUGUCCUCUGCCACUGGAUGAGUGUCAUUGUGGUCUGAGAUCUUUGGUUUGAGCUUUCUCGGCACUUGGGCUUCAGCUUCUUCUUCUUUAGCUUCAGGCAUUGGGGCCUUGUUCUUCUCUUCAGCAGGAAUGUUUCUUGUGCUUCUUUUGGGUGCAGACUUGGUGGCUGGAGCAGCAGCUUUGGGAGCAGGUUUGGGCUUAGGAGCAGCCCCUGAAUUGAUUGCAUCUCCCAUAAGCUUUUGGGAUUUGGGUGCUGGAGCAGCAUCCUCUUCCUCUUCCUCUUCAGAAUCUCUCACCAUUGUUGACUUUCCAAGAACUUUAGCAGUAGUGGUUCUUGCCCUCUUCUUCUUCUUGUCAUUACCAGCUGCGUCACCAUCUUUUGAUUCUAGAGUGAACUUCAUGGUUUCUCUUGUGGCAACUUUUCUUGGCUUAGAUGUUGGGAUUCUCCUAGCUGGUGCCUUCUUGUUCAUGCCAGGCUUUGUUGAAGCAGUAGUGCCAAACUCCUUCUUCACCACCUUCCUCUUUGAGAUGGCUCAUCCUCAGCUGCAACAUAAUCCUCAUCCUCAGAGUCUGGGGUUCUCUUCUUCCUUGCUCUAGUGGAUGCCGUGGGCAAGUUACUUGGUGUGCUCUUGCUGCCCUCAUCAUAGCUGCUUGAGGUACUAGUGCCCUCACUCAUUUGCACUUGCUCUUCAGACUUAUUCUGGCUAUCACUUUGGUCAGACAUCUUGGCAGGCAAACUGACAGCAAACCCUAUGAAUAGAUAUAGAUGAGGUAGAGUAGAUGAGCAUCAAAAAGUACAGAGAUAUUGCAAAACAAAUGAGUCAAAAACUUAGUUUUAGUUCUCUACAGAAAUGAUCUCGAAGCUACCGAAUUGAUAAACUUGGUGAUACCGAAGCAACAUUUGGAACCUAAACUAGUGAACUCGGUCAGACCGAGUCACAGUUCGGUGGCACCGAGAUUGCUAGGGUUUCACAGAGAAUUGAACUCGGUCACACCGAUUUGCAGUUUUCGGUCAGACCGAAAAGUGCAUGUGCAAUGGCCUAAGCCAAAUCGGUGAGACCAAUUUCUAUGAUUCGGUCGGUCCGAGAUGAGUUCUGCGGAGAGUUAACCCUAAAAUUUUCAAAUCAAACUAGGCCUAAGGAAGUUUUAGAUCGAUAGAUCGAUUUCAUUCGUGGCAAGAACCAUGGCAUUGUCCUCGUGCUUAGAAUUGAGGUGAAUAGACAGCACAAGGGGUCGAACACAUACCCUAGUUCGACGGGUGUUUGCUACGGCAGCAACGGCGGAGCAGAUUCCGUCAACGACGGUAGAAACCAGCGGCGGGAGGUCACUGGCGGCAAGGAGGCGAUCUGGAGACCCGAGUAGGCAGAGCAGGACACACGCGGGCUGAGGGGUUUUGAAGAAAUUUCCAAAAUCUCACUCGUGGUAUAUAUAUCCCGACCCUGUCGGUGUGACCGAGUGGAACAACUCGGUGGCACCAAGAUUGCAGAAUCGCAAGUGGUUGCUGCAACUCGGUGUGACCGAAGUAUUCAAAUUGGUUGCACCGAGAUGAAAACCUAGAUCAACUUAGUGAACUCGGUUUGACCGAAAUGGAUGACUCGGUCAGACCGAAAUGCACAAAGAGGUUUUGGAAGUUUAAGUCUAUGACGAAUCGGGGACUCCGAGUGCUCCUCACACAGAGUGGUUCGAAUCUGACUUGUUCAAACUUUGGGAUGUAGCAUGAAUAGAGUUUGAGACGAGAAAAGCAUAGAUAGCUAGAGAGGGUUCUUAGGCAUUCUUGUCCAUCCACUUGGCAAAGGAGAAAGAGCCAAACAGCCAAAACAACAAGUGGAUGUCCUCGAAUGAGUAAAAUAUGCAACCAACAUGCUCACACAAUAAAAUGGCAAAUGAAAUAUGUGGCAAAGCAUGCACAAACACUCUAGCAUCUAUGAAGAAAUUUGCAAUGACUAGGUCAUCUAUGUAUGAGUAUAUUGACUUAUGAGUCAAAUGAGAACAUUUGAUCAUAGGUCAUACUCAUUGUUUAAGCACAAGUGGGGUUACCACUUUUACAUAAAGCAUUGUUGUGUUCACACCAUUAUAUAGAGUUGCUUUAACUCAAGUCUUAGAGUAAAGCUCCCCCUAGAUGUGAUAUUCCCCCUAAGAGGGGUGAACUAACCUUGGGUUUUGUUGAUGAUGACUUCAUGUAGGUGUUGAAAAUGUGGAUGCUCAAUGUUGAUGUAGAUCAUUCGGAGCUAUCCAUUGGAGUGAGUUGCACUUUAAAUACCUACACAGGUUAGUCCCACAAGGAACAAACAAGGAUAUCCAUAGACAUAGAGUGAUGCACACACAAGAUGAUGUCCAUGAAAGCAUUAGGUUACCUUGUCCCUUGUCUUACCAACAAGAGGGUUGUGACUCCUUGAACUAGGGAAAGAUGUGGAAGUAAUUUGCACUUGUUCUUGCCAAAAUAAUCUGAGUCAAGUGUGUUGGCAGAGUCACCCUCAAGAACUCUCUAGUUCUUCUUCUUCGGGAUCCACAUCAUCUUGAUGGGAAUCCUUGGGGUUGUAGUCAUACUUGAUGAAGUAGAACUUGAUGUAGUCUUGGGAACCCACUUGACCAAGGCCUUGGGAGCUUCUUCAAAUGCAUCAACUUCCUCUUGAAGCUUAUCCUUGCCUUUUUGCUUGUGGUCUUGUGGUGGAAGAUCAUCUUGAGCUUGUGUCCCUUGGAAAGAAGUAGGAUCGUACUUCUCUUGUUGAGGAACAAACUUCGUCUUGGGGUGUUGAUCUUCUUCGCACUCAACUCCAUUGCCAUUGAACUUUCGUUCAAAACCAACACCUUGAUUCUUCCGGUGCCUUCCUUGCUUGCAUACAGUUUCCUCAAAUUGCUUACUUCCAGCAAGGCUCUUGUAAACACCUUUCUCUAUAAUUCCCUUCAAUAAGCUAUUUUCUUGCUCAAGUGUAACUUGGAUAAGAGAAUCAUUAGUGGAAUCAAGAGAACUACUAGAAGCAACAACAUUAGAUUUAGCAUGAUUAUUGUUACUACUAGAAGAAGAAUAUUUCUUACUUUUGUUGCUGGAUUUAACUUGUGGCAUGUAAGUAGACAAGAGUAAACGCUUGGCAAUGUAAGAAUAACUUUUCUUGCGAAGAUAGUCAUUAUUGCCUUUAAAAACUCAUGUUCUUGCUCAAGGUUGAUCUUUUCAAAGCAUAACUUCUCAUGAGUCUUUAAAAGUUCUUGAUGAUCUUCCAAGGUAGUUUCAUGAGCUAACUUAAGAGUGUUUAGUUCUUUAGUUAGACGCUCAAUCUUCUCCUUACAAUUGUCAUUCAUUUUAUCUUGAUUAGCAUGAUUAAUUGACGUUUCAUCAUAGUAUUCAUCACUAGAGUUGUCAACAAGUAAAUCAUCAUCACCUAACAAAUCAUCUUCAUCACUAUUGAAAUCAACAUACUCGGGGUGUGAUACCUUUGGGCCUUUAGCCAUGAAGCAUCUUCCAAUUCCUUCAUUUGGUGAGUCAAAUAUGUCAUAGGAGUUGGUUGACACAAGUGCUAGACCGGGAACACCUUCAUCUUGAGUAUAUUCGGAGUCGAAGUGAUAAUUUCUUUUGGAGUGAUGGUCGGAGUCGGAGCCGGAUACCCAUUCACCAACAUGAGCUUGAUGUCUUUGCUUUGUGUAGCUCUUUGAUGACUUGUCCUUCCUUUCCGAAUCCUUGCUUCUCCGGGAUCACUACAAAAAAAUACACUUCCGUGAUGAUACAUGUUUGUCAUAGUAGGUCACAUUUUCUGUCAUGCAUGUACAUCCAUGACGAUUUUAUGACAGAAUCAAGAUAGUCAUACAUGUGCUGUCGUAGAAGUGUUCCAUGACAUUACCAAAAUUAUCAUCACAGAAGUGUCCACUUCCAUGACGAUAAAUCGCCAUCAUAGAAGUGCUUUCGUCAAGGGUGACCAACACGUGGCAUCCACCGUAACGGAACGCCGUUAAGCUAUCGGGUCCGGUUUUGGAUCCAAUAACCCGUUAAGAGCCCGGACCAAUGGGGAUUUUCCAUGUGUAAAAUCAUCAUUGGCUGGAGGAAACACGCGUCAGCUCUGCGUUGGCACAGGUGUCACUCAUCCAAUGGGGGAGAUGCGCCUAUGAUAUGUUGACACGUGGACCGGCCCAAAAGUGGCCCAUAAAGUUUAAAUAGGUCGGCUAAACUAAAGGCCAACAAGAUUUUGCGGACCAUAAUGGGCCGGCCCAGCUAAAGGCCCACGAGAUUUUGCGGACCAUAAUGGGCUGGCCCAGCUAAAGGCCCACAAGAUUUUGUGGGCCAUAAUGGGCCGGCCCAGCUAAAGUCCCACAAGAUUUUGCGGGCCAUAAUGGGCGGGCCCAGGUAAAGGCCCACAAGAUUUUUGCGGACCAUAAUGGGUGGGCCCAGCUAAAGGCCCACGAGAUUUCGCCGACCAUAAUGGGUCGGCUCAGCUGAAGGCCCACAAGAUUUUGAGGACCCUAGUAGGCCGGCCCAUUAACUGACUGCCAUGUUUUGGGCCAAAUGUCGGCCCAUGUUUGAUCCGGUCCAUUAAUGGCCUGCCAUGUUCCGGGCCUAAAAAUGGCCCAUAUGAGAUCCGGCCCAUUAAAAGCCUACCACGUUUUGGGCCAAAUUACGGUCCAGAUCAGGUUCGACCCUUUAAGAGCCUUUGGGAUAAAUUAUGGCCUAUAUUAGAUUCGGGUCGUCAACUGGACGCUAUGCUUUUGGGCUCACUUGCUAAAGGCCCAUUUAGUAAUUCGGCCUGAUAUUAGUUUUGGCCUGUUAAAGGCCCGUUUAACAUUUCGGCCCUAUAUUAAUUUCGGCAUGUUAAAAGCCUGUCAUAUAGUUGGGCCUAACUACGGCCCGGUUUGCAUCCAGCCUGCUCGCAGCCGAUAAUCUGAUUGGGCCAAACAAGGACAGAGACAAUUUUGGCCUGUUAAAAGCCCAUGAUUUGAUUGGCACAAUCAUGGGCUGGGGUCCAUUUCGGGCUGCUGCCGGCCCAUGAGCUAUUCGGCACAUUUCAGGCCCAACCUACUUUUCAGCCUCCUAAAAGCCCAUUGAGUUUUCUUGCGAAAAGAGGGCCGGCGGUUUACUCGGCCUAUUAAAGGCCUGAAUCUACUAGUGGGCCAGUUUACAUUUAGGCCUUUUAACUGACCAAGAUGACAGGGCCCAUGAUGCGGAUCAUACAUCGUGAUUGCAUGACGGCCCGAUUAUGUACCGUAAUUUUACGGUUUGGCCGGUUUACUGCGAAGACAGGAUAUAUAUACAGUAAAAUAACUGCAGCAUCGUGAAUAAUAAAAAACCUAGUCUAUACAAUAAAUAAAUUACGGCAUAUUACAUCCACUGGGCAUCAAAGUUCACCGCUAUGAUAAUAAACCACAAGCAGACAACAGAUUACAUACACUGGGCAUCAAAGAUCGCCACCAGUACAAAUAAACACGCCGACAAAAUAAUAUACAAAACCGACAGCUCUUCAAUAGAGUUCAAGAAAGGUUAGCUCUGCUCGGGACCUACAGUGCAAGCACCUGAGCAAGCUGAUGAGACUGCACUUGUUUAACACUUAUAUCCUCCUCACUCUGAAAGAUAAACAAGCAGACAGAUGACAUGUUUUGCACAUAAAAGUAUCAGUGCUGACAAUUCAUCACAUUUCUUACUGAUGAAUAAAGUGACACAUUUUAAAAUUGCAUUAACACAAUAUGGUAUUGUUCAGGUCAAGACAUGGCAGGAAAUGACAUUGUGAAGGAGUUGGCAGCUUCAUGACACCACUGGAUUACAAAUCAAGAACCCAUAAGUAUCAAUGGUUAGUAUGCUGUCAAUUUAUCCCAUUUUAGAUUGGCAAAUAAAAAGAAGGUUUAAAUAAUAGUAGAAUGAUAUGACAUUGUUCAUAGUUAAGACAUUGCAGAAUAUGACAUUGUGCUGCAAUGGGUAGGUUCACCACACCACUGGAUUACGGAUCAAGAAUAGAAGCAUACAUGGAGUGCAAAAGAAGAUUACUUGCUCUGUAUAGUUUAAUUUACAUGGUAUGAAGAAGGAACUUGGUUGUACAACUGAAAACUUAAAUUGAGAAGGACAAACUUUUGUUUAUGAACUACAUAAUAAACUUUAAACAUGCAAUUUGAUGCAGACACAAAAAAUAAACAGUUGUUGUAGUCAUGCCUAACAAAAUAUACACAACAAAGUUUGAAGGCUUGAGAAGGACAAACUUACAUUAUUGGUGAAGACAAGCUCUAUAAAUCCCUUGUCCAUGCUGAUUGGGGGGGGGCAAUUCAAGAAGUUUACCAUGGAAUAUUCUUCAUAAGCAUUGUCUUUAUUCUACAUUUUGUUAAAAGUAAAUAUAGAUGUGAUAAUAUAAGAAAAAAUGGAGAAUAUUUAAGAUAAGAUGAAGAGUGAUGCUACAUAACCAAGUAGCUAUAAAUGUAAGUACAACGAUACAUGCAAAAGGUACAUCCAAGAACAAUGCACAGCUAAACUUCUUCAGUACCAUCGGUGUUAUCCAAGCUUAUGGUAAGAGUAAAUAUAGAUCUGAUGUGUAGAAAAUGGAGGGUAAAGGAAAAUAAGCUGGAAAGUGAUGGUACAUGAACAACUACCUGUCAAUAUAAGUACACUGACACCAAGUACUUACAAGAACAAUGCAGAGUAAAAAAAUUCAUUGGCAUUGGAUAUAUUCUACGCUAAUGUAACCAUUCAUACAGAUCAGAUAAUUUGGAGCGAACAAUUGAUAAACAAGCUAUCAUGCAUACUGUUGUCACAUAAUGAACCAGGUAUGUAUGCAAGUACAGUGAUACAGGACAACAGGUACUAACAAGAGCAAAACAGCGGGCAACAUAUUUGCGAUAUCCUGUCGUUCUUUUCAAACCAGAAUUCUUCUUCGAGCAGAUUUCCUACAAAAAAAGAUCCGUAAGGCACAUGCAGAAAAGUAGAAGUUCAAAUUGUCAUGUGAUUUCAUAGACAGUACCUCAUCCUGGGAAUGAGACCAGUGCAUAACAAGGUUUUUCCAUUCAAAGUCUUCUAAAUUUAGCACAGGAGACUUCACCAGAAAUUCGUUUAUAGACUUGCCAUCAAAGUGUGAUUUCCUCAGGUAACACCGAUACUGCUGCAAUGCUUCCUUGAAAAGCACAAGCAAGCUUUGCUCGUCAUGACUAUCCAGAUUGAACCUCGCCUACUUACAACAAUGUAAUGUAAGUCAUUGAUGUGUUCAAUCAGCAGAAACAAGAAAAUAAUAACCAUGAAUUAUAGCACUUACAUGUAAGUUGGAUAGGAAGAUGUGAAAAUGGUGUUUGUCUUCACUAUAAUCUUCCCAUGAUGGGAAUAUAUGCACGUAGUCCCUAACAACAUUGAAAGCAUUGUCUUUUAAACUGGGAAUAACUGGAAUGGGGUUCCAAUCUGCAGGAAUUGGCCAUCUCUGCAGUUGGGAUAGGUCUUCGGCCAGUGGACUUGCUGUACUUUUUGCUGGAGUGGGAUUUUUCUGUGGUACGACUGGUGCUAUGGCAACUAAAAUCGGUAUACCUUUUGCUGGAGUGCAGGUCCUGUGUGGUGGGGCUAGUUGUGUGGCUAGUGAAGUAUGGGUACAGUUUGCUGGAGUCGGUCCUACGUUUUGUGUCACUGGUUAUACUGCCAAUAUAAGUGGGGUGCUGUCUGAUUUCUCCGACACCACCACGUUUUUCAAGGACUUUGCUGGUGCUCCUUCAGGUUCGGCAAUCACCCUCUUCCUUUUUGAUGUCUGAUGCACAAGAACAUCAUUUGAGUGGAAAACAUGGUAUGAUGACAGAUGGAAUAUGUAUUGAUAAUGGAUGGGCAUGGCAUCUCGACAUAUAUGAUGAGUAAACUAAGCAGAUGGUGGUGCAACAAAGUAGAAGAAAUGCAAGACAACAUAUGCAAGAUACGCGCAAUCAAUAAAACCUUGCCAAAUUAGAACAGACACCUUGAUGGGUGAACAGGACAGGCCAUCUGCCUUUGACUCCUCGAGGUUAGAAUAGUCAUUAGGAUCAUAUUUUGAACAGGAAUCAACAGGUGGGGAGCGUAUGAGUUUCAUUGCAUCCAGAAUGGCACUCAAUGCCUUGGUGCCAAUUUUGUAAGUCAUUGCAGUGUUUAGCUUCAAGAGUGGACUGCUGCUAGUGCAACACAAAGCAGCUACACAUAUCAUAGUGUAGAUAUAACAGGAACACCAUAAGCAUCAGAAUAAAAUCAGCAAAGUGGAACUUGCUGGAAUAUAUGUGCUAGUAUUGCCGAUACGGCUAGAAAGGCUUCAGACACCAGCUCUCUUCAACUAAAGGUGCGGUACUGUUAAUAUUAGUGUAACUCUCAAAAGCGACACAACUCCCCGCAUUUCCUUGCUAUUCUUAUAGGAUUCAAGUGGGUAGUGUCGGUGUCAAAACCGGCGGAUCUCGGGUAGGGGGUCCCGAUCUGUGCGUCUAAGGUUGAUGGUAACAGGAAGCAAGGGACACGAUGUUUUACCUAGGUUCGGGCCCUCUCGAUGGAGGUAAAACCAUACUUCCUGCUUGAUUAAUAUUGAAGAUAUGUGUAGUACAAGAGUAGAUCUACCACGAGAUCGUAGAGGCUAAACCCUAAGAGCUAGCCUAUGAUGGUAUGGUUGUAAUUGUGAUCGGCCUUCUAAGGACCAUCCUCUCCGGUUUAUAUAGACACCAGAGAGCUAGGGUUUACAUGGAGUCGGUUACAAGGAAGGAAAUAUAAUAUUCGGAUCGCCAAGCUUGUCUUCCACGCAAAGGAGAGUCCCAUCCGGACAUGAGACGAAUUCUUGAGUCUUGUAUCUUGACGCUUCUAUAGUCCGGACGAUGUAUAUAGUCCGGCUGUCCGGAUGCCCCCUUAUCCAGGACUCCCUCAGUAGCCCCUGAACCAGGCUUCAAUGACGAUGAGUCCGGCACGCAGUCUUGUCUUCGGCAUUGCAAGGCGGGUUCCUCCUCCGAAUACUCCAAGGUUAUUAUCGAACACGUAGACCGUGUCCGGAUCUACAAGGUGAUCUUUGCAUCCCCUACAUGAACUCGUUCUGCUGGCAAUCUUUGUACGUCGUGCCCUUGCAUCAUGGCCUGGUCCAACACGAACCGCCGUCUCCUGCUCCACCUCGACUCGCGUUGCGAGGCGGUUUUAUUGGCACGUCCUGCCAAAGCAGAGAUCGUGUCCCUCUUAAUACAGGAUCUUUCAUCAAUAUGGGCAUAUGUGACCCCAUGGCGACCGUUGGUAUGAUUCCGUGUAUUUUAGAUUAGUCUCAAGCGGUCAUGCUUAGGACUCUUGGUAUUCAUCCCUUUUAUAAAGAGGGUCAAGGCCUACGCCUCUUUUCCACCUCUCCUGCUACUUCUCGCACCUCGAGCUCCAGCACUCAAAACCUAUGCUCCAACACCCUAGAUCCUCCAGUAUGUCUGGAUCUGACGCAAAAGGAUAGUGGGUGGCCUCCUUGAUCCAAGAGGAGGAUAUCGCUAAGCUUAGGGAGGUCGGAUACCUGACCGCCGAUAUCCAGCACAGGCUUCCUGCUCCGGGGCAAAUAUCCCCACGCCGGAGCCCAAUGAGAGCGUCAUGUUUGUCCCUCACUUCCUCCGAGGCCCGAGCCUCACCCUCGACCCCUUUGUGAGGGGCUCAUGUUCUACUAUGGCUUGGAUUUCCAUGAUCUGGCUCCAGACGCCAUCCUCCAUAUCUCGUCGUUCAUUAUUGUGUGCGAGGCUUUUCUCCAUGUCAACCCACACUUCGGCUUAUGGCUCAAGACCUUCAAUGUGAAGCCGAAGAUGAUAGAGGGGCGACAUGCAGAGUGCGGAGGUGCCAUAAUAAGCAAGAACACCGAUGCCCCAUGGCCAGAGGGUUCUUUUCUGUAAGUAUCCGAUGUAUGGCAACGGAGGUGGUUUUAUGUUACAGCUCCCAGAGGCACAAAGUGGGUGGCCGCCCCUGAGUUCCGCUCGGGCCCUCCGUCACAGUUAGCAUCUUGGACCGACGUAGUAUGGAAUUAUGGGCCUGCUGGCGAUGUGCCAGAACUGUAGAAUUGUAUCCGGGAGAUUAUUGAGAGGGACAUAAAUCUUGUUAGCAUAAUGCAAGUGAUGCUAGUCCGACGGAUGUUGCCGUGCAAACGUCGACCUCUCCGGAUGUGGGAGUUUAAUCCGGAGGGUCCGCGGACUAUUAAGCACUUCUUCGGCCUGAAGCUCAAAGGAAUGUGUAAAUUAUUCUUCGGACCACAAGUAAAGUGUCCGGACACCACCGAGGAUGCGGGCCUAAGCUGCAAUCGCCUAGAUGCCCAAGUAAGUAACCUUAAAGCCGGACACUUCAUUUAUAUUUAUCAUAACUAUUAUUCUGAACAUCCUUCCGUGGCCAGGAAUGGCUCAACAAGGCGGAGAGAAUCAGGUGACCGGCGCCACUUCCUGAAGGCUCGUCUGGUCCAACCAUUGCAAAGAUGCUGGGUCGAGCGCUCAACAAAAUCCCUUCAGGGAACGGCGAAGGAAAGGGCAGUGAAGCUGAACUUCACGUGCUACGCAUCCAGACCGGGGAAAUCACUACCCGUCCUAUGGAGGAUAGCCGGAAAGGGGAGGCACAAUCCUCCUCCCCACGCGGGAAGAAAAGGGCCGCCUCCGAAGAUUUGGAGGCAGAGACGCCCAAGCAAGGGAAGAAAGCAUCACCAGGGGGCUCUGCCAUGACGGGCAUCCUCACCGCAUCGUGCCCACCAACAGGCCAGCCCUCCACCAAGCCGUAAGUUAUUCAUUAAUUCGAAGGUAUGGUGUUACUCCAAGAUCCAUAACUGGGACUUCGUCUUUUGUAGUCCGGCAAGCAGCUCUUCUCAACAGAGUUCGUCUUCGGGGGACCUACUUUCGGAGAUGAUGGAGAGUGAGACUCCACCCCCCCUCUCCGCCUCAUGAGGCGGGCGACACCGAGGUGUCGUCACGGAGGAGUCCGGACCUGCCAAAGCUGGAGGCUAACACGUUAGCCGCCCUGAGCCCGGAGCGUUUGGCUCCCACGGGGGGCGAUGAGAAGGGUCCGGCAUAGUUCAGUGUCCGGCCGGACGUACUGACGGGCCGUCUGGAGCGAGCCGCGCUCUCGGAGGAGCACCACUCUUUAAUGAGCACGGUGCUCAUGAAGAUUUCAUCCGCUACCAGCAGUUUGAAUGAGGCGUUUGCAAGCCUGCUCAAAGGCUUUGAGGUAUGUAGUAAAAAAUGCACAAUUUUUUGGUUAUGAAGCGCGCGCUAGGUGUCCUCCCUAUAGAUAGUAGCCCCUGAGACUCUGGUUGCCCGCCAUAGGCGGCAAACGGGGGAUCAUAUACUAAUGGCUACGCCGUACAUGUGCGCAGGUAUACAAAGAUCCGGCAGCCGACCAGUCUGUUGAAGUUGCCGAACUAAGGAGGCAAAUCGGAUCUAUUGAUGCUGAUAUUACGCUGGUGAACAAACGGCUGGAAGAAUCCCAGGGUAUGUGCUCUGCUUCCUUUAUUAUAUUGUAUAGGAAGAUGUGAGAAUGGCAUAAUGUUAAUGCCCUGUGUAUGCACUGCAGAUGGUGCGCUGAGGCCCUAAGUGCAGAGCUUGCUCAGGCCAAGGAACAAGCUCGGGCUAGCAAUGCGGCUGCCCUAAAGGCGGUCGAAGAGUUGAGAGCCGAACAGGUUGCUCAUCGCUGAAGCGAGGAAAAGAUGGCCGAAAUGGCUGAAGAAUUGAAAAAUGCCGCCGACCGGUAUGCACUCCUGGAAAAGGAGAAUAAGGCUAGUUCGGCUGAGCUGGAUAAGGCACUUAAUGCCGCCAAGGAGAUGCGGAUCGAGAUCCGAGGUAUGCGGGAGGAACUUCAACAGGCUGACAAAAUUGUGGCUGGGGGCUCGUACCUACUGCGACGAAGUUUUUGGAUCCAAAGUAUGCCCCCCUAGCUGGGCGCUUUAGUCUAGCAGACGCAUAUGUGGACCUGGUGAAUAAUACAGCCGAUGCUGUCAAGUUCUUCGAGGAUCAAGGUGAUAAGGAAGUGGAGAAGGUUUUCUGGUCACAAUUCAAUGCUCCCGCCCGCUGCCGCUAAAUGAGAAGGUGGCUGCUAUGGCGGAGCUCCACAGGUUGUCCGGGCUUGCAAUGCGGUCUGUAAUAGACCAUCUUUGGCCACAGGGGCCUAAGCCGGACAGCUACUUUGGUUUGGUCCAGAAAUUCCUUGGGGCCGUGUCUCGGAUUGAUGCCAUGAGGAGGUCGGCGUGCAUAGAGGGUGCGCGGAUGGCUCUAGCCCGCGUUAAAGCCUAUUGGACGGAUAUGGAGGCCACUGUAAUAGCGACCCAGGAUCCGGCGGGAGGCCAAUAUCCGGCCGAGCACUACUUGGUGCAAGUCACAGAAGGUGCUCGCCUAAUAGAGGCGUAGUGCUCGAAGAAUGUUUAGUUCGAGUGAUAAGUCGAAUCAUUGUAGAAAACAAUGUUUAGUUUAAUUAUGAGGCAAUACUUUUGCCCGGAAGUAUGAUUGUAUCCCUUUUGCGGCCGUUUUUAUAUGUAUAAGUAGUCCGAAAGAUAGCAGUCGUUGGCUUCAGCCCCCACGCAUACAAUGCGGGGGUAUUCGCAAAAAAUAUGCCUAAUCACACUUGAUCCAACGUCUUGGUCCAUUAAGGAGGUGAUUGCACGUUGAACUAGGCAACCGAACUAUAUAGCUAUAACACUUUCGCUUAGCCAUGGGAGUAUAAUGGUGGGGCUACUAUGUAGCCCCUGGUACCUUCGCGUGCAUCCGAAUACGGGCGCGUGUGUACAUGGCCGGUAAACGGCCCUUCGUUAAUGUGGAGGAAUCCUUAAAGAUUCCGGUGAGUCUUCGAGUGGUUGAACAGUCUCUUGCUGUAUCAUGACAGUCAAUUUUCGGCUUUCUCUACUGAGGCGCUCAUCCGGAAUAACCAGGGCACAAUCGCAGUAGUUCUCCUUUAGCCUGCCUUAGCCGGUGAUAACGGAACGUAAGGCGACAAACCCAGGAGCUAGGAAAACCCAACAUUUAACCAAAGACAUGAUUCGGAGCUGAUGCAUAUACGGCCAAACUCAUGACGCCGAACACUCCCGAGGGUAUUCGGUCUUUGUAAAAGAAAAUAGGCUGACGAGAGCCUAUUAUAAGCCCUUAGUUUCUAGGUACGUGCAAUUUUAGUCUGCCAUGGCCAAAUGCCAAUAAUGACAGUAUCCUUUGUGGGUAUAGAACCCAUGGGAUGGUUAAACAACAAGAGGCAGUAGAAAAGGUUUACACAGGGGCUUAAUCUAAAAAGAAACCUGUUGAACGGGGCCCUGCUUCACGUCUGCGCCUUUGUCUCCGUUGUGCCGUAUCCUGGAAGGGUAUCACGCGAACGUUGUCUGUAAAAAAAAGGAAAACUCGUAGGGGAGUGCAACAUAAGUAUGCGAUUGAUAAUAAAAGUGUAAGAUGUUGGCCUUCCAAUAAGGUUGAGCCAAAUGUGGGGCUGUAUGAAAUAUUUAUUGCCCCUGGUUUCCGCUAUGGGAUUACAUAUACGGUGCCCUAGUUAAAUUUUAUCCGGGCUACCGGACUCGUCUAACCGUGUCUGUGGUUUUAAUGACCAGUCAUGUUUUCUGAUAUUGGAGGCCGCUUAUAGUUCGGCCGCUAGGGCCGUCGUGUGUUCCUCUGCGCGUGAAGAGCGCUCUGUGAUUCCGCUAAUGGUUAUGACACCACGAAGACCGGGAAUCUUGAGUGUAAGGUAGCCAUAGUGUGGCAAUGCGUUGAAGUGGUCGAAGGCCGCUCUUCCAAGCAAUGUGUGAUAUCCGCUUUGGAAAGGUGCGAUGGUGAAGAGUAGUUCUUCACUUCUGGAGUUGCCUAGGGGGGCGAAUGUUACUUCCAGCAUGACAGAGCCCCUGCCAUAGGAUUCAACGCCUGGUAUCACCCCUUCAAAGGUGGUGUUGCUUUGGCUAAUUCUGGAUGGGUUUAUCCCCAUUCUGCGGACAGUGUCCUCGUAUAUUAAAUUGAGACUACUACCGCCAUCCAUGAGGACACAGGUGAGACGGUAUCCAUCAAUUAUUGGGUCAAGCACCAAGGCAUGUGAUCCUCCUCGCCGGAUAGUAGUUCGGUCGUCCAUGUGAUCGAAAGUGAUCGGACGAGACAUCUAGUAAUGAAAUGUGGGUACGAUGGGAUCUACAUCGUGCGCGUCUAUGGGCGCACAUUCAUGCCUUCUCGUGGAUGUGUGAGUCGCGUGGAUCAUGUUUACUGUUUUAACCUCUGGCGGGAAUUUUUUCUGUCCCCCAGUAUUCGGUUGGCGAGGUUCGUCCUCGUCUUCACUUGGUGUUUCCCUCUCUUUGUGUUCGGCGUUUAAUUUGCCGGCCUGCUUCAAGACCCAGCACUCUCUAUGCGUGUGGUUUGCAGGUUUCUCCGGGGUGCCAUGAAUUUGGCAUAGUCUGUCCAGGACUCUGUUCAGACCGGACGGUCCCUCUUUACUGCCUUUGGAUGGCUUCUUUUGCUGAUCAGGUCGAGAGCCCCUGAAUCCGGUGUUGACCGUCGUGUUAUCCAGGCUCUCUUCCUUGCUUUGGAGUUUGUUUUUAUUACGCCGUGUCCUCCCGUUGCCAUCCCUUAUUUCGGAUGUGCUGGGGUCGCUGGUGCCUUUAUGGGCCAGCCAGCUAUCUUCACCCGCGCAAAAGCGGGUCAUAAAGCUUGUUAAGGCUGCCAUUGUCCUUGGCUUUUCUUGGCCGAGGUGUCGGGCGAGCCUUUCGUCAUGGAUGCUGUGUUUGAAUGCCGCUAAGGCUUCGACGUCCGGACAAUCGACAAUUUGAUUCUUCUUAGUGAGGAAUCUAUUCCAAAGCUUGCGGGCGGACUCUCCGGGCUGUUGGAUUAUGUGACUUAGAUCGUCUGCAUCCGGAGGUCGGAUAUAAGUCCCUUGAAAAUUGGCCCUGAAAGCGUCUUCGAGUUCCUCCCAACUCCCAAUUGAAUUUUCGGGGAGGCUUUUCAACCAGUGCCGAGCUGGUCCCUUCAACUUGAGGGGAAGGUAUUUGAUGGCGUGGAGGUCAUCCCCACGAGCCAUGUGAAUAUGCAGGAUAAAAUCCUCGAUCCAGACCCCUGGGUCUGUCGUGCCGUCGUAUGCCUCUAUGUUCACAGGUUUAAAGCCUUGUGGGAAUUCAUGGUCCAGUACUUCUUCGGUGAAGCACAGGGGGUUAGCAACCCCUCUGUGUCUGGGCGCGUCGUGGCAUGUAGUCGGUUGUUGUUGUGUCCCGAGUUUAUUUCGAACUGGUAUCUCGCUUGUUAUCUCCCCGACCGACUCUUGAGAAGACAUCUUGCUCUAAAUCUGCUGCAAAAACAGCUCAAAACAAAAACAGAAAAUUUUGUCGUGGUACGGUGGUCAAAACCUUUGGGAGAUUAUAUAAUGAAUUUUACCAACCAAAAGAAGUAUUGUGCAAGAAAACAAAGUCCGGAGGGCACACGAGGUGGCCACAAGGUAGGGGGCGUGCCCAGGGGGUAGGGCGCGCCCUCCACCCUUGUGGUCUCCUCGUGCCUCUUUCGGACUACUUUUAAUUUUUCCUAAUUAUUUAAAUAUUCCAAAAUGGAGAAAAAAUGCUAUUAGAACAGUUUUGGAGUCGAUUUACUUACCGUACCACAUACCUAUUCCUUUUCGGAUUCUGAAACAUUCUGGAAAGUGUCCCUUUGUACUCCUCCGGUGUUACAGUGUCAAUUAUAUUGGUCUCAACAUUUAUGGGAUUACCUGAGAUAUAAUGUUUGAUUCUUUAACCGUUGAUUUUUAUGGCACCGGAAUGAUAGACCUCCUCGAUAAUGUAAGGACCUUCCCAUUUAGAGAGAAGCUUUCCUGCAAAAAAUCUUAAACGAGAGUUGUAUAGCAAAACAUGAUCAACUCACGCUUUUCUAUCCUCUUGUCAUGCCAUCUUUUAAUCUUUUCUUUAAACAACUUGGCAUUCUCAUAGGCUUGGGUUCUCGAUUCAUCAAGCUAAUGUCAAAUAACUUCUUCUCACCGGCAAGUUUGAAAUCAUAGUUGAGCUCUUUAAUGGCCCAAUAUGCCUUAUGUUCUAGUUUGAGAGGUAAGUGACAAGUCUUUCCAUAAACCAUUUUAUACGGAGACAUACCCAUAGGAUUUUUAUAAGCAGUUCUAUAAGCGCAUAAUGCAUCAUCAAGUUUCUUGGACCAAUUCUUUCUAGAUCUAUUAACAGUCUUUUGCAAAAUCAACUUAAUCUAUCUAUUACUUGAUUCUACUUGACCACUAGACUGAGGAUGAUAUGGAGAUGCAGUUCUAUGGUUAACAUCAUACUUAGCAAGCAUUUUCCGAAAGCACCAUGAAUAAAAUGUGAACCACCAUCAGUCAUUAAAUAUCUAGGGACUCCAAACCUUAGAAAUAUAACUUCUUUAAGCAUCUUAAUAGAGGUGUUAUGAGUAGCACUACUAGUUGGAAAGAUUCUACCCACUUAGUAACAUAAUCUAUAGCAACUAGAAUAUGUGUAUACCCAUUAGAGGAAGGAAAAGGUCACAUAUAAUCCAGGCCCUAAACAUCAAAUGGUUCAAUAACAAGUGAAUAAUUCAUAGGCAUUUCCUGACGUCUACUAAUAUUACCAAUUCUUUGGCAUUCAUCACAAGACAAGACAAACUUACGAGCAUCCUUGAAGAGAGUGGGCCAAUAAAAACCGGAUUGCAAUACCUUAUGUGCAGUUCUAUCUCCAGCGCGGUGUCCUCCGUAAGCCUCGGAGUGACAUUCAUGUAGGAUAUGUUCUAGUUCAUGCUCGGGUACACAACUUCUAAUAACACCAUCUAAUCCUUCUUUAUACAGGUGUGGGUCAUCCCAAAAGUAAUGUCUUAAAUCAUAGAAAAACUUUUUCUUUUGCUGGUAUGUGAAACUAGGUGGUAUAAAUUUAGCAACAAUGUAAUUAGCAUAAUCAACAUACCAUGGAGUAUUACGAGAAGCAUUUAUGAAAGCUAAUUGUUCAUCAGGAAAGCUAUGCAACGGGGUUCUCAGCUCCCUUUCUAUCAAUAAUAUGCAAAUCAAAUUCUUGUAACAAGAGAACCCAUCUAAUAAGUCUAGGUUUAGCAUCUUUCUUUUCCAUAAGAUAUUUAAUAGAAGUAUGAUCAGUGUGAACAGUUACUUUGGAAUGAACAAUAUAAGAUCUAAACUUAUCACAAGCGAAAACAACCGCUAAAAAUUCCUUUUCAGUAGUAGCAUAAUUUCGCUGGGCAGUGUCUAGACACUAGUAGAAAAAGGGGCUUUUGUCCCGGUUGGUAAGGCCCUUUAGUCCCGGUUUUUGAACCGAGACUAAAGGGUCGUUACUAAUGCCUCUCCCCUUUAGUCCCGGUUCUUACACGAACCGGGACUAAAGGCCGCAGCCAUGUGGAGCUCCACCUUUAGUCCCGGUUGGUAACACCAACCGGGACUAAAGGAAAUUUUAUGAUUUUUUUUUGAAUUUUUUUAUUUUCAAAUUUCUGAAUUUUUUUAACCUCUAAUCUCUAAUCACCACCCCUCAUCACUGCUCAAUUUAUCCUCUAAUCUCUAAUCACCCCUCAUCAUUCCAAAUCAUCUAACUUCCCGAACGGUCACCCAUCCUCCCACUUCCCCAGCCUGAGCACGCUUAACUUCCGGGUUCUAUUCUCCCUCGUUUCCAAGUCUGCACUUGUUGUUUUCCUGACAAUAGUAAGAUGUCAAUCCUAUUAACCCUCGGAAAUUUUGCUUGAGCAUGAAGUGACACUUUUCACUGUUUGAGUUUGAAACUAUUGUUUUAAAAAACAAUAAUUAUUUAGUAACACUAAUAUUUCUUGAAUAAUUAAUUUGACCACAGUUUGACCAGAUUUGACCAAAAUUCAAAAUAACUAAAAUAAUUAUUUAGUAACACUAAUAUUCUAGAAUAAUUAGUUUGACCACUGUUUGACCACAGUUUGAAAUUUUUUCGAUUUUUUCCACUCUAGAUCUUAAAAGCCACGUAACUUUUUUUCUGUUAGGUUUAAAUUUGGAUGUAACUUUUCAAGUAGAUGAUUUUUCAUAUAAAAAACAUUUUCAUUCGAGUUAGUAUGCAAAAGUUAUGCCCAUUUUACUAAAUUCUAGAGAGAUUUUGCAAAUAAAGUCCAAAUUCACAUUUGCAAAUUUUCCCAACAACUAGACCACAUAUCACAUGGGAAACUUAUUUUCUUUUAUUUAUUUUGACAUUUUCAUCAUUUUCUUUUAUUUAUUUUUAAAACUGAAAAGGCGAUCCAAGGAGGGGGGGGUAGAGUUUGAAAAUGGGACCUUUAGUACCAGUUCGUGCCAUGAACCGGUACUAAUGCCUCAAACCCCAUUAGUACCGGUUGGUGGCUCGAACCGGGACUAAAGGUCUAACCUUUAGUACCGGUUGGUGCCACGAACCGGUACUAAUGGGCAUCGCACCCUUUAGUCCCGGUUCGUGGCACCAACCGGGACUAAAAGGUCCAGACGAACCGGGACAAAUGGCCCACGUGGCCCCUGGGCUCACGAACCGGGACUAAUGCCCCCAUUAGUCCCGGUUCUGGACUGAACCGAGACUAAUGGGCUAACCCGGCCUGGACCAAAGCCCUCUUUUCUACUAGUGAGAGUUUUACUAGCAUAAUGGAUAACAUUCAAUUUCUUAUCAACUCUUUUCUCUAGAACAACACCAACAACAUAAUAACUAGCAUCAUACACAAUUUCAAAGGGUAAAUUCCAAUCAGGUGGUUGAACAAUAGGUGCAGAAAUCAAGGCUUUCUUAAGUAUUUCAAAUGCUUCUACACAAUCAUCAUAAAAAACAAAAGGAACAUCUUUUUGCAAGAGAUUAGUGAGAGGCCUACAAAUUUUAGAUAAGCCUUUAAUAAACCUCCUAUAGAAACCAACAUGACCAAGGAAACUUCUUAUACCUUUGAUAUCUUUAGACACUGCAUCUUUUCAAUAGCAUCUACUUUAGCUUUAUCAAUUUCUAUUCCUUUUUUAUAAAUUUUGUGCCCCAAGACAAUACCUUCAUUAACCAUAAAGUGGCACUUCUCCCAAUUCAAGACAAGAUUAGUUUCUUCACAUCUCUGCAAAACUUGAUCAAGGUUUCUUAAGCAAUCAUCAAAAGAAGUUCCGUAAACGGAGAAAUCAUCCAUGAAAACCUCAACAAUAUAAUUACAAAAGUCAGAGAAUAUAGCAUUCAUACAUCUUUGAAAGGUAGCAGGUGCAUUGCAUAAACCAAAAGGCAUACCUCUAUAAUCAAAGGUACCAAAAGAGCAAGUAAAAGUGGUGUUUUCCUGAUCAUCUUUUGACACAGGUAUUUGAGAAAAAACAGAAUAACCAUCUAGAAAGAAAAGUGUGUAUGUUUGGAUAGUCUUUCUAGCAUUUGAUCAAUAAAAGGUAGAGGGUAAUGAUCUUUUCUAGUAGCUCUAAUUAAUUUGUGAAAAUUAAUUACCAUUCUAUAACCUGUAAUAAUUCUUUGUGGGAUCAAUUCAUUAUUAUCAUUAGGAACAACAGUAAUACCUCCCUUCUUAGGACACAAUGAAUGGGACUUACCCACUUACUAUCAGCAAUAGGAUAAAUUAUAACUGCCUCCAGAAGCUUUAGUAUUUCAUUUCUUACCACUUCUUUCAUCUUAGGAUUUAACCGUCAUUGAUGAUCAACAACUGGUUUAGCAUUAGGCUCCAAAUUAAUUUUUUUGCUCACAUAGAGUGGGACUAAUGCCCUUAAGAUCAUCAAGAGUAUAUCCAAUAGCGGCACGGUGCUUCUUCAGAGUUUUCAAUAAUUUCUUUUCCUCAUGCUCUGAAAGGUUAGCACUAUUAAUAACAGGAUAUAUCUUCUUUUCAUCAAGAUAAGCAUAUUUCAAUGUAUCAGGUAAUUAUUUAAGCUCAAACACGGGAUCACCCUUGGGUGGAGGAGGAUCCCCAAGGAUUUCAACAGGAAAAUUGUGUUUCAAAAUAGGUCAUUGAUUAAAGAAUAUUUCAUCUAUUUCCCUUCUUUCCUUCAUAAACAUGUCAUUUUCAUGUUCUAGCAAAUAUUGUUCUAAGGGAUCAGUAGGAGGCACGGCAAUAGAAGCAAGAGCAAUAAUUUCAUCCUUACUAGGCAAUUCUUUAUCACGGGGUUGUCUACGAAAUUUAGAGAAAUUAAAAUCAUGAGACAUAUCCCUUAAACCAACAGUAACAAUAUCUUUCUCACAGUUUAUCUUAGCAUUAACAGUGUUCAAGAAAGGUCUACCAAAUAUAAUAGGACAAAAAUCAUCUUGUGGGGAAGCAAGAACAAGAAAAUCAGUAGGGUAUUUUAUUUUUCCACACAAGACUUCAACAUCUCUAACGAUCCCAAUUGGCAAAAUAGUAUCUCUAUUGGCAAGCUUAAUAGUAACAUCAAUAUCUUCUAUCUCCGCAGGUGCAAUAUCAUUCACAAUUUCUUGGUAUAAGGUAUAAGGUGUUGCACUCACACUAGCACCCACAUCACAUAAGGCAUGAUAACAAUGAUCUCCUAUUUUAAUAGAAACAACAUGCAUGCCAACAACAGGUCUAUGUUUAUCUUUAGUAUCGGGUUUAGUGAUUGUAGCAGCUUCAUCACAAAAACAAAUAAUAUGACCACUAAUAUUAUGAACCAAGAGAUCUUUAACCAUAGCAAUACUAGAUUCAACUUUAAUUUGUUUAGGGGGUGUAGGUGUUCUAGUAUAACUCUUAUGAACCACAGUUGAAGCUUUAGCAUGAUCCUUUAUUCUAACAGGAAAAGGAGGUUUCUCAAUAUAAUCAGUAGGAACAAUAGGAUCAACAUUAUAGGCAAUAGUUUCUUCUUCAACUUUAAUGGGUUCUACUACUUUUACUUCAAUGGGAGGAUGAUAUUUAAACCACUUCUCCUUAGGGAGAUCAACAUGAGUAGCAAAUGAUUCACAAAAAAAGCUACUAUCUCAUAGUCAAGUCCAUAUUUAGUGCUAAAAUCACGAAAGGCAUCGAUAUCCAUAAAGGAUUUAAAACAAUCAAAAUUAAGCUUUAUACCUGACUUGUAACGACCCGAACCUGAUAAGAUUCAAUGUCUCUGUGCUCACUGUGCUAGUCCCUGCAUCAAUAGCUAGCACACACAGUACAAGAUGUAAUAUCAAGAAUAAACCACAUGUCAUAAUAUUACAUCGUAGAUCCAGAAUUUAAUAUAAUAUAUACCUGCAUAUCUCAAGGCUAGAUCAUAACAAACAUAUAGCAGAAAAGCAAAUAAAAUCUCCAUGAAGUCCAUCAACACCACAGGAAAAUGUCGAGUAUAGACAUCGUAACCCUACAUCGCAUCACUCAAUCGUCAUAUAAAAUCUGCAACAUGAAACGUUGUAGCCACAAAGGGUCAAUACUUUGAAUGUAUUGGCAAGGAAUGAUAUAACAACCCUAUAUCUACAUGCAUGGUAUAUCAAAAGAAUGGGUGGUGGUUUGUUUUGUAGAAAAGCUAAUUUUCCCUGAUAACUACAUAAUAUAAUAGUCAUAUUUUAAUUAUGUCUUGCUACAAUUAAAUAGAUAUGGUUGAAUUGGGCAAUCCAAUUCCAACCUAUACCCAUCAUUAAGUUUCCCAUCAAGUUUUAUUAAUUGUAUCAUCUGCCAAGAUCAUCCAACAACUGUAAUGGCAUGGUCGCUCAAAUUUGUCCAUGACCGGGGACACGGCUAAUCAUGAUCAGUUUUUACACUCUGCAGAGCUUUGCACACUUUACCCACUAGACCCAACCCGAAGAUUGAGACAAAGUCUUUCAGAAGUAGUCACCUCCACCCACCGGUAGCCGGUACACCUACUCAUAUCUACAUCUGCUAGCUUACCUGGGCAAGGAUCCCACGACCUACUCAACUAAGGCAGAGCCCAUUUAGCUAGUGGUUGCGCAUGGAAGCUACUAGUCACUAAGUCUGUCCGAUAUUCUUGAGCCUGGACGACACCCACUUACAUUUAGAGGGUAUAAACCAUGGUGUUCUUGAAACCACCCAACAAUAUUGUUCGGGCGCACUUAGCCAUGGUACUUGUCCUUAGAAAAGGAAACAAGAAACCAUGAUGCAACCCUGUCCGUCCAGAGGUGAAUUAUCUAUUAUGUUUUUACUCAAGUUAUGUUAUAUAUAGUCCUCACAUAAUCUCGAUGCAUACACGAACCAAUCCCCGUCUACACAGCAUAGCAAGAGUACAACUACCACGAUCUACAAUAAGGCCAUACUAAGCUGAAUCUCAAUAGCAAUAACAUGCUACCAUAAUUAUCCUACACAAUGAAAUAAUAGGAUGAAGGAUGGUCAAGGUGUAACUUGCCUGAUAUUUUUGAUAAAGAUCGUCGCACUCAAAUUCCUCAUAAUUCUACUCGUCACACUCCGAUUAAUCUAUUGCAAUAAAAAAACUCAAAUCAAUAACCAUGCCAUACAGAAGAGACAAAAGAACAAAAAAAAUAUGGCAAGGUUAAGCAAAAUCAAUAUAUAUAUAUAUAUAUAUAUAUAUAUAUAUAUAUAUAUAUAUAUAUGCUUAAUAUAUAAUAUAGGGUCUUUAGGUGCUAUAAGAUGAUGGAGGGAAGGAAAUCAACUCACAAGAGUUAAAUAGAAGAAUAGUUAUGCCAUAAACAAGAGUAUAGUGGAGAUGUAAUGGAAUAGGUUCAGAAGUGCUUGGAAAACAACAUAAAUGUAGUACAACAUAUUGAAUAUGACAUAAGAGUUCAUUUGUAAAAGAAUUGACUCGAAAAGGAACACUACAACACAAAUUAUAGUGAGAUGAUGUUUGAAUUGAAUUUUAAUUCAAAACAAGACAAAGAAUAUUUGAAUUUUGCAUAUAGUGGAUGUGAUCAACAAGUAUUUGGUAUAAGUGUUUCAUAGGCAAAAGGAAUCAAUUGGAAAGGUGUCACGGUUCACCCGAUAAGAUCAAAUGGAGUUUCGAAUUAAAAUUUGAAUUGCUCAAAUUUGAUAAGUUCAAAAGUUGAAAAAUAUGAUUCUACUCGAUAGUUAUGAUCAGCAAUAACACGUAGGAAAAAGAAUCGCUUAAAUUGGAUGUGUAGAUCAAAAAUUAUAGCUGAAACAAUGUUUGGACAGAUUUUGUUAUAAACUCUGUCGUGGCAGCGUUUUGGACAUGCGGUUGAUGUGUUGUGCGGGUGCCACGUGGCAGUCUGUGAUUCAUCAAAAGAUGUCCUGUGCAUGGCGUGCUCACCUGAAGCAGAGGGAACGGUGGCGGCUACCGGCGUUGGCGAUGGGGUGGCUCCGGCGGUUUUCCGGCGACUGAGAGGUGACGGCGAGCGUGGCGCGCCAAGGGGGUCACGAGCUUGGGGUCCCCGACGUCAACUGCUUCAUCGAGCGGUGGUGGUGAUGCUCACGAAGUCCGGCGGCGUUGUGGAGCUUCGGCUCGUGCUGCGUGCGCUCGAUGCGGUGCGCUGCGAGCGUUGAAACGGUAUCAGGAAGAUGUGGAUCGAUGUGGCCACAUAGUUCACAAAUAAAUAGGGCCGAGGAGGCUUACUGACGAUGACAUCGACCGGAAAAGCAUGGUCAGCCGGCGGAACUUGGGGAGGUUCAUAAGAACGAAAAUCAAAGGGGGUCUCGACUCUCGAGCGGAGAUCACGGGAAUCGGACGAGGGAAAGAAGUGGGAUCACACGAUGCACGAUGCCCACGGAUUGGAGCGACGGGUUCGGGGUCGCACGAAUCGCCAGGAGUCCGAUCUGGGCAUGGCGGCGCUAUCGUCCACGAACAGGAGACCGAGCAGAGGUAGGAGACACGUGCGGGGCCCUUGUGUCGGCGGCAGAGAAAAAAAAUGGGUGCCGGCGGUUGGGUGGGCUGCUGCUGCGCUUGUCGCGCGCGCGCGCGGCGGAGAAGAACUAGGCCGCCGGGGUAGCUGGGUAGGAUAGGUUUAGAUGUUCUAUUCUAUUUUAUUUACAGAAAUGAUUUUGGCUUGGAAAAUGUUCCAAAAAAAUUUCAAAAAAAAACCCAGAACAACUACAAAACAAAUAUAGUUAUAUGUAGCUUGGUGAACAUUGUCCCAUCAAAAAUACUUAUAUGAAAAACAUAUAUUAUUUUCGUACACUUUACUUUGGCACUUAUAAAAUGUCCCAUUAAAUAUUUUUGAACUCCGGAGAAAAAUUAAAAUAACAUUUAAAUCAUUUCCAACUCUUUUAUGUUGAAGGAUUCAUAUUUCCUUCUCUCAUAUGAUUUAAUAUUUGAGUUAGAAUUGCUUUAAAUAUUCAAAAUCCAAAAUGGGAGAAUAUUCAAUCAAUCACCAAUAUUAUUAUUUGAGGAAGUCGUGUCAUCCUCUCUCAUAUUUGAAUUGGAAAUAUUCUGAAUAUCCUCAAACCCAAAAUAAGAACCGACUGAAUAAUUGGGAAAGUCCUUUUAUUCCCUCUUGUUUAUUAUUCAUUUAAACUCCCAAAUGUUUCAAAUCCUAGCCAAAUUUAACUAACAACAAGCAACACAAGCAAAAUUUUAAAUUAAUCCAAUUUAAAUUAUUAACAUUUCAAAAUUUAGAAUUUUGGGAUGUUACAUGACUCCUUUCCUUCGUCGAGUUUCCAAUCUUCAGAGUUGCGUUUAAUUCUUUCCAACAAGUCUCAUCUGAAUUCAAUAGUCUUUUUCAUAAAAGAACCAGUACAAGAAGUAUCGAGCAUGGAUCGAUCAUUAUGGGAAAGCCGAGCAAAAAAUUCUGAAUAAUGAUUUCUCUUGGAAGCUCAUGAUUGGGGCAUGAAUAUAACAUUGACUUAAGGCUCCCCCAAGAUUGAGCGGUACUUUCUCCUUCGCGAGGCCAAAAAUUAUAUAUAUAAUUUCGAUCAUGAUGAACCAGAUGCAUAGGAUAAAACUUCUGAUGAAAUUCCAAUUUCAAUCGGUUGUAGUUUCAUGAUCCAAUAUCAUCACAUAGCCUAAACCAUGUCAAUGCCUUUCCCUUCAAAGAUAAAGGGAAGACCUUCUUCUUGACAAUAUCCUCGGGCAUACCUGCAAACUUAAAUAAUCCACAAACUUCAUCCACAUAGAUUAGGUGCAUAUCAGAAUGUAAUGUUCCAUCUCCUCCAUAAGGAUUAGCUAGCAGUUUCUCUAUCAUACCCGUAGGAAUUUCAUAAUAAAUAUUUUCAGUAGGUGCUUAGGUUGAGGAGAAACUCUUUUCUCUUCCGGUCGAGGUGAAGAUACCCCGAACAAGCCCCUCAAAGGAUUAUUUUCCAUAGUAACAAGUAAUAGUAAAUUUCAGCAUAUUAUAUAAAUAUUUCCUUACCAAAGGCGCUUCACUCCCCGACAACGGUGCCAAAAUAGAGUCUUGAUGACCCACAAGUAUAGAGGAUCAAUCGUAGUCCUUUGAAUAAGUAAGAGUGUCGAACCCAAUGAGGAGCAGAAGGAAAUGACAAGCAGUUUUCAGCAAGGUAUUCUCUGCAAGUAUUAAAAUUAUUGAUAACAGAUAGUUUUGUGAUAAGACAAUUCGUAAGGGGUAACAUGUAACAAAAACAAACAAGGUGCAUCAAGGUGGCCCAAUCCUUUUUGUAGCAAAGGACAAGCUUGGACGAACUCUUAUAUAAAGCAAAGCGUUCCCGAGGACACAUGAGAAUUAUUGUCAAGCUAGUUUUCAUCAUGCUCAUAUGAUUUGUGUUCGUUACUUUGAUAAUUUGAUAUGUGGGUGGACCAGUGCUUGGGUGCUGCCCUUCUUUGGACAAGCCUCCCACUUAUGAUUAACAACCCCCCCCCCCCCGCAAGCAUCCACAACUAUGAAAGAAGAAUUAAGAUAAAUCUAACCAUAGCAUGAAACAUAUGGAUCCAAAUCAACCCCUUACGAAGCAAUGCAUAAACUAGGGUUUAAGCUUCUGUCACUCUAGCAACCCAUCAUCUACUUAUUACUUCCCAAUGCCUUCCCCUAGGCCCAAAUCAUGGUGAAGUGUCAUGUAGUCUAUGUUCACAUAACACCACUAGAGGAAAGACAACAUACAUCUCAUCAAAAUAUCAAACGAAUACCAAAUUCACAUGAUUACUUAUAACAAGACUUAUCCCAUGUCCUCAGGAACAAACGUAACUACUCACAAAGCAUAUUCAUGUUCAUAAUCAGAGGAGUAUUAAUUAUCAUUAAGGAUCUGAAUAUAUGAUCUUCCACCGAAUAAACCAACUAGCAUCAACUACAAGGAGUAAUCAACACUACUAGCAACCUACAGGUACCAAUCUGUGGUUUUGAGACAAAGAUCGGAUACAAAAGAUGAACUAGGGUUUGAGAGGAGAUGGUGCUGGUGAAGAUGUUGCUAGAGAUUGACCCCCUCUCGAUGAGAGGAUCGAUGGUGAUUGAUACGUCUCCAACAUAUCUAUAAUUUUUUAUUGUUCCAUGCUAUUAUAUUACCCCUUUUGGAUGCUUAUGGGCUUUAUUAAACACUUUUAUAUUACUUUUGGGACUAACCUACUAAUCGGAGGCCCAACCCAUAUUGCUGUUUUAUUGCCUGUUUAAGUAUUUCGAAGAAAAGGAAUAUCAAACGGAGUCCAAACGGAAUGAAACCUUCGGGAGCGUGAUUUUUGGAAAGGAUAUGAUCCGGGAGACUUGGAGUUCAAGCCAGGGAAGGCUCGAGGAAGCCAUGAGAUAGGAGGGCGCACCCACCUCCCUAGGCGCGCCCCCUGUCUCCUGGGCCCCUCGAGACUCCCCCGACCGACUUCUUUCGCCUAUAUAAGUCCACGUACCAUAAAAACAUCGAAGGAGAAGAUAGAUCGGGAGUUCCACCGCCGUAAGCCUCUGUAGCCACCAAAAAGCUCUUGGGAGCCCGUUCCGGUGCCCUGCCGGAGGGGGAAUCCAUCACCGGUGGCCAUCUUCAUCAUCCCGGCGCUCUCCAUGACGAGGAGGGAGUAGUUCACCCUCGGGGCUGAGGGUAUGUACUAGUAGCUAUGUGUUUGAUCUCUCUCUCUCUCUCUCUCUCUCUCUCUCUCUCUCUCUCGUGUUCUCUCUAUGGCACGAUCUUGAUGUAUCGCGAGCUUUGCUAUUAUAGUUGGAUCUUAUGAUGUUUCUUCCCCUCUACUCUCUUGUGAUGAAUUGAGUUUUCCUCUUGAAGUUAUCUUAUCGGAUUGAGUCUUCAAGGAUUUGAGAACACUUGAUGUAUGUCUUGCCGUGCUUACCUGUGGUGACAAUGGGAUAUCACGUGAUCCACUUGAUGUAUGCUUUGGUGAUCAACUUGCGGGUUCCGCCCAUGAACCUAUGCAUAGGGCUUGGCACACGUUUUCGUCUUGACUCUCCGGUAGAAACUUUGGGGCACUCUUUGAAGUACUUUGUGUUGGUUGAAUAGAUGAAUCUAAGAUUGUGUGAUGCAUAUCGUAUAAUCAUGCCCACGGAUACUUGAGGUGACAAUGGAGUAUAUAGGUGACAUUAGGGUUUUGGUUGAUUUGUGUCUUAAGUUGUUAUUCUAGUAUGAACUCUAUGAUAGAUUCAACGGAAAGAAUAGCUUCGUGUUAUUUUACUACGGACUCUUGAAUAGAUCGAGCAGAAAGGAUAACUUUGAGGUGGUUUCGUACCCUACCAUAAUCUCUUUGUUUGUUCUCCGUUAUUAGUGGCUUUGGAGUGACUCUUUGUUGCAUGUUGAGGGAUAGUUAUAUGAUCCAAGUAUGUUAUUAUUGUUGAGAGAACUUUCACUAGUGAAAGUAUGAACCCUAUGCCUUGUUUCCUACCAUUGCAAUACCGUUUACGCUCACUUUUAUCAUUAAUUACCUUUCUGUUUUUAUAUUUUCAUAUUACAAAAACCUAUAUCUACUAUCCAUAUUGCACUUGUAUCACCAUCUCUUCGCCGAACUAGUGCACCUAUACAAUUUACCAUGUAUUGGGUGUGUUGGGGACACAAGAGACUCUUUGUUAUUUGGUUGUAGGGUUGCUUGAGAGAGACCAUCUUCAUCCUACGCCUCCUACAGAUUGAUAAACCUUAGGUCAUCCACGUGAGGGAAAUUUGCUACUGUCCUACAAAUCUCUGCACUUGGAGGCCCAACAACGUCUAUAAGAAGAAGGUUGUGUAGUAGACAUCAAGCUCUUUUCUAGCGCCGUUGCCGGUGAGGUGAGUGCUUGAAGGUAUAUCUUUAGAUCUUGCAAUCAAUUCUUUUUGUUUGUUGUUUUUUCACUAGUUUAGUUUAUAAAAGAAAACUACAAAAAAAUGGAAUUGAGUUUGUCUCAUACGCUUCGUCUUUUUAAUAUCUUUCGUGAGUUUGAUGAAAAGGAAAAUUGUGCUCAAGUGCUAGAAGAAGAAAUCUAUAGAAUGUUUGACACUAAAUCUUUGAAUGAUGAGCAUGAUUGCAAUGUUGUUAGUAUGAACUCCUUGAAUAUCCAUAGUACUAAUGAUGAUUGCACUAGUUAUGAUGAAAAUGUCUCUUAUAAGCAUGUCAAUUUUUGUGGAGAACAUUGGGUUUGCAUAGAUACACCAAAUAGAGAAGAUAAAUAUUGGAAGAGGCAUAAGCAUGUAGAAACUAAAUUGUUACAAGAAAGGCUAGAUAAGAGUGCUGAAAAAUUAUAUUUCUUUGGCGUACUUGUGAACUUUGCAAUGAAAGUGGUCAUUUAUAUCUCCGAUGCAAGUUGUUUCAUGAUCGAAUCAUGUCCAAAAAUUGUGAUGAUUUGAUUUCCCUUGCACAUUAUAAUGAACUUAGUUUGCUUGUGGGUUAUGAAGAAAUGAAUCGUUUAAUUAAGAACCUUCCAGAAUUUGCCCGUUAUAAAAUUCUUGAUUUUAAUCUAGAGACGAUUUAUAUGUUUUGUGCGGAGAAUUGCAUUGAAAAUCCUUAUAUUGCUAAUUACCUAAAGAAAAGAAAGCAAUUAGAAGAUGAAGAGAAUACUAAUGAAAGGGAAGAGACUUCCCAAUCUUCUCCUAUUAUUUCUUAUGAUGAAUCAGGUAACAAGGAGGAGCUUUCUAUUCAACCAAUCUCAUCAAUAAGGAGCUGAAAGAAGAAGGUUGAACCCACACAUAAUGCAAAGAAGAAAAAGAAAAGAAGGAGCAACAAAGGUAAAAAGGUAUCCCUCCCAAAUGAUGUUGCUCCUACUACUCAUUGUGAUGAUGAUAAUUGCUUUACUAUUGGUGCUAUCCAUAUUUUUAAUGAUGAGAGUGAUUAUGCUUAUGAUAUGAAAAGGCCCAAGCUUGGGGAAGCUAUGUUUGAUAAGGAUGAAAUAUUUGAGAAUAUAUUUGCUGAAUCUAAUGUUUGUCCCAAGCAUGGGGAUGCUAUGUUUAAUGAAGAUGAUAUUUUUAGCAUCCCAAGUUUUGAUAUGCAAAGUUGUUAUGAUGAUAGCAUGCCUCUUACCUAUGAUGGUUAUAUUGAUGAAAGUGGGUUUGGAAGAGUGUAAACUUUAGGAAGUAGUGAUCCCACUAUCUUGGAGGAUGUUGAAUUUUAUUGUGAUGAAUAUGAAAGUGGAUUUGGAAGAGUGUCAACUUUAUUUAGUGAUGAUUCCACUAUCUUCGAAGAGGUUUCAAUCGAUUAUGAUGAGAACGAAGUUGCUACUUAUGAUGAUUAUUGUGAUGAAACCUAUGCUAUAAAAAGUAGUGAUGAUUAUAUUUAUAAAACUUGUCAUGAUUAUGAUUACCAUUUUUCUGAACAUUACUCUUUUAAUGUGGAAACAAUUUUUAGUGUUCAAGUCUCUUAUGAUACUCCCAAUAUUCCGAAUGAGAAGAAUUUUGUUUAUGUGGAGAGUAGUAAAUUUUCUAUGCUUGUAGACCAUGAAAAGAACACUUUAGGUGUUGUUUAUAUUGUUGAAUUCAUUCAUGAUGCUACUGAAAAUUGUUAUGAGGGAGGACCAUAUGCUUCUAGGAAUUGUAAUAACUAGUAGAAUGCCCGUGCGUUGCCACGGGCUUUUGAAAUAGUUUGCAAGAGUUACAUGUUAACUUUUUAAGGUCUCGCCCCGCCAUAGAUCCAGACCCCCACCACUGAUUCCACCCCGCUUAGGCCGCCGCCUGCCACUGCGCUGCCCAUCGCGUUCGCCUCCGCCCCGACCCCGCCCGCCUCCUCUCAGGCCGCCUCCGCCUCCGGUCCAUCCUUUGCCCGGCCCCGCUCCGUCCGCCUCCCCUCUGGCCCUGCUCCGUCCGCCUCCUCUCCGGCCCUGCUCCGUCUGCCUCCUCUCCGGUUCGUCCGCCGCACUGCUCCGUCCGCUUCCGCCCCGUGCCACAUGCUGCCGCCCCUCUCCGUCCGCCUCCGCCCCGCGCCGCACGUUGCCGCCCCGCUCCCUGCUCGGCCGUCGCCCGCUACCCGAUGGCGCCGAAGAAGACGCCGAAGGGAAAGUCCGGUUUCUUCGGCAUGAGGGCGAAGCCCUCCGGGAACUUUGGACUGGAGUUCUCCGAUGCCGGGCAACGUUGGUGGCUCGGCACGUAUGCUACCGCCGAUGAGGCCUCUCGUGCCUACGACGUGGCGGUGUGGCGUGCCGGAUGGCCGAAGACGGAUCUAAACUUCCUGGAGGUCGAGUCCCAGGCGGUGGCGGAGUGGCUCGUGCUGCAGGGCAUCCGGAUGGAGGAGAUGCCGACUAAGAAGGCGAAGAAGAGACCCGCGGUUGUUGUCGCUCCCGGCGAGAGCGACGAGGCGGCGAUAGCUUGGUUUGCGUGAUUUGCGUUUUGCUGCAAAUCCAUCUCUAAUGAAAUGCUAUUUGCUACAUUUUUAAAUAGGAAAAUUAUUUCGAUGAGCCAGCCAUAACUCAAUAGACCAAUCUUUAAUGAAAUGCUAUUUGCUACAUUUUUUAAAUAGAAAAAUUAUUCCGAUCAGCCAGCCAUAACUCAACAGACCAAUCCGAACCCACAUUUUCUAAAGUAAAAAAAAUAUUUCCCUUGAUAGAUCAAGAUGCCAAAGUGUCGUUUGCCCGACUGCUAUGUUCCUAUACACGCAGAGCAAAUUAUUUUUCAAAUCAAGGAAUUAAGAAAAGGAAGAAUAACAUGAUGUUCGUAGCACUUGCCAGGUCUGCCAUGCUACCAUGGCAUUGUCUUUUUAGUCUCUACCCACAUGCCGAGUUGAGAAAUAAUCUUCAGAUAUACCCACAGCUAACACACUCACGUACAUAAUGGCCCUUGGCUGAUUGAUUUGGCUGGCUGUUAACACAAGCACACAACACACAAAAUCAGUCAAUGGCCACACAAGUAUGCAUUGUUUACUUUAUUCCAAUUGUGAUGCAAUCGUGACACUUACAAGCCCCGUCCGCUCGCCCGUCACGGUAAUUGCCUACUCGCCGCUGGUGCAAACCUCUCGACCUUGGCACUGCCGCUCUCCACUCAGUCUCCACCGGCUGCCCAUUGCCUCUUGCGCCACCCGCGCGCUCACUCAGCCCAAUGUUGUUGAUUGGAAUGCGGGACUGAAGGUAAUCCAUGGAUAGGUUUUAGUUCUGCUUGGCAUCAAUCUUUGGUACUUGUCAAUCCAUCUACCGCACAAAAAAAUCGACUCUCAGACAGAAAAGUGAUCUAACUCUAUUGAUGAGCACAACAGUACAUACCAUCCCAUCAUGAUGUUGCCAUCUCUCACACUUGAUGAUUCUUGUUAUUUAUAACAUGUACACCAUCGGGCGAUUGCUUUAUUAGAAAUAUAUUUACACAAUAUGAUCAGAGCAACAUCAAGGAGUCGGAUGCUGGUGCACAGAUUCUCCUCAAAUUCCACAUGCAACCCUUGUAGAGAAGAACAACAUAUUUUCCUUAGGUGAUUUUUGACCGAGAUCCUACAAAAAAAAUUCAAAGAAAUCACGAGGAGCAUGGAGCCAAGCAAACUAAUCAUAGUAAAUCAUGAGAGGAGAAGCCUCUCAACCUACUACAGGGAAUCGAGUCAACAUUAAUUCGUGUAAGAAUUAAACCGUAAUGUAGAUUAACAACCCAGUAGUUGAUAAAAUAACCCUGACACAACCCAUUAAUACAAUAUAUGGUCACAGGAAGUAGAUUGAGAUUGUGCAGAUAUCAUGAUCUACGAACCGUAUCUACGAAUAUUGAUUGCAAAGUCACAAACAGAACCUCCUCACAUCACAAAACAAAUGUUUCAUCAACAGAAACUCUAGCGAAUGCCAAUUGGAUUAUAUAAGUAAGACAGAGACAUCGAAAAAAAGAAAUAUAAUUCAAAGAGUAUAUAUUCUAUUUUCUUACUUGACAUCAUAGAGAAUGCAAGUCAAAGAUAUUGCGAUACAUCUUACCCUUCUAUAAAUUGACUGCAAGGCACAAUCCCCAGCAAAAUAUACAAAAUGAAUUGCUCCUAUGAUCCAAGUAUUGCAUAAAUAGUUAUAUACAAACUAUUCAACAGUGAGCAUAAACAUGGCAUGUACUACCAAAAUCCCUUGGAUAUGGAGCUUAGUCUGCAUGUCUAUUCGUUUUGUUUCCAUAGUACAAUGUCAAUACUUGUUUCCCUAGUACAAUGCCCGUGCGUUGUCACGGGCCUUUUAAUUUUUUUUUCUGAUUGCAAACAUAAGCAUAAUGCAUUUCCAAUUUCACAUCUAUAGAAAAAAAUUAUAGUAACAAUCAAAAAUGUAUUUGAUGCAAUGUAUUUUCAUUAUUCCACUCCACUUGCAUCUCCUAGUAGAACGCCCGUGCGUUGCAACGGGCUAUAUUGACGACUUCUUUUUUUACGUCAAAGCACUCUUCUUUUCUCCCAUUCUUCCUUCCCCCAAUUAAAAAUGUUUCUCAGAGUGAUAUGUGAAUGGAUAAAUUUACAAUGAUACUAAAAUAUGAAGGACUUAAACCAUAUUUAUGGAAGAACAUUUCUACAACACAUUCGACAUGAAACUUAUGGUGCUUGAUAGAUUGGAUAAAACAUGAUGCUGACUUAGCACCAAAUCUAAUUGAUAGUUCAGAACAUGGUUGCCAUACCAUUGUACCUGAAAGAUCUGUCUCCCCCUUCCUCGCUCCCUCUCUAGUAGCUGUCUCAUGAGCCGGUCGUCAUUGUUGCUGUUGAUGGCGAUGACAAUAAUGAGGAGGAACACCACAAGAGCUAGAUGUUCUUGACCUCUUCCCUAUGGUAACUGCCGCCUCUGCAUUGGGUGUCGUUCAUCAACACCACCGCUGCGCCAGCUGCUACUUGUAUAGAAAAUAAGAAGAUAGAAACUUUGUGUGUUGGGUCGCCAGCUGCUCAUUUGCUUGUAUGAUUGUGGAGACUGCGCUAAACAAGCAGGCUGGUAAUUGUACUCCAGCUUGAAUGGAGAUGCACCAAGUUCACUUGAUCCACCAAUCAACUUUGGACUGUGGAUCCCAAGUCCGAGAACAAAAACUCGCUGAAAGUCUGCAUGUGUAUCCAACAAUCAUGACAUGUACUCCAUAUGUAAAGAAAUAUAAGAGCGUUUAGAUCACUUCUUUAGUGAUCUAAACACUCUUAUAUUUCUUUGAGGAGGGAUUAUGGACCAAAAGAAGAAAAUAAACAUUGCAUGCUACAGAAAUGGAUAAUAAAAUCUAUCUGCAUGAGAUGCCACAUGAAUGUCACAAACAUAAGCAUAGUUUCGAUGCACACUAUCUCAUGUUGCAUGUUAAAUACAGGUUUGUGCACGUUGACUUUUGCUGGUAGAUGGAGAUACUAAGAUGAAAAAAUGGUCACACAAAAAUUGCUUUUCAAAUGUUAAUAUUACCAAGACUAAUCCAUGAAUAAAAUGUAUGCAACUAUGCACAGUAAAGAUACUUAAAAUAGUUACUGGACUAAACUCACUGAUAUAGAGCUAUCAAAACCGGAGCCAAGGCUCAAAUCUUAACAACGAUCAAAGUAGACUUCAGCCUUGUGGUUGCCGCAUAGGCUCACCACAGUGACAACGCCAACUCUCUUCCGUCUUCUCAGUUUCUUGACAAAAAAUGAUACUGCUAUUUGCACAUUAGGGAGUAAAUUAUGCUUCAAGCAUUUCUCAAACCAAAUCGGCAAUAUGUAGGCUUAAAAUAUCAGCAGGCAUCCACACAGAUUUCUACAGCUGAAAUAUAGUGUUGUGAUUUGUGUAUCCAUAAUGCAGAAUAACCUAUUGUUCUAUUUGGUGGUUAAAUAAAUAAACAUUAUUGUUUUUGGCUAGUGCCUGUAGAGCUACUAAAUGAUAGUCAGCGUCACUGUAUAUUUCUAAGAAAGAAAAUUAUAAGACUUCAUUGGUUGUAAAUAACGCUAAUUGUAUUGGUUGCCACCAAUGUCGACUUGAAAAGAAAAUUAUGGAGCUUCAGUUCAUAUGCAUCUAGUCAUAUAAAAAAAUAAGAACACAUGCUUCAACUCCUGUUAGUUCGGUCACAAAAAAAUCAUCACCAAAAAUCAGAAGACAAAGUAUCAUUGUUAUAUUUGUUGACUUGAUUGAUUACUGUAGGUUAACACACCCAACUGGAAUUAACCUGCAAUAGGAUAAAAGAAAUUAAGAUUUGAGACGUGUGUUAUAGGGUUCAUAGAAGAGAGAAGAGGGAGGUACCAUAUCAAAUCAUUGGUCGCACAGUUUGACAUUCAACUUUCCAUUUUCUAAUGAGUCCUCAGGGAUUCAUAUACAUAAACGUUGAUUGAUAUAUCAGGUCCAACUCCCUGUAACACUAAAAGUUACUGGGAAGUCAACUAAAAAACAAUUCUCAGCAGAAACAUACGGCUUACCAAUAAGGUGGACCAAAGGCCUUUACAAUCCUCUACCAUUCUCUUCUCUACAAAUUGUAGACAACGUGUGAAAGAUGCCCUUGUAAUACCUAGUGGUUUUCUGCAGAAUUUUAUAGACAUGAAAGUUUAGCUUACUAAAACAUGUUCCUUUGGUCUGUAAAGCUGCAUUGCAUGAAAGCAUUAGGUAAAGAUGCUCUAAGUUCUAACUGGAAGUUAUAUUGAUUGAUUGGUUGGCUUAGUGUUAUUCACAAAUCACGAAAGGAAGAAAAGCAUCACCUGUGUUGUCAGGUGAUUUCAAAGAACAUCCAAUGGGUAAGUUACAGAUGCAGGUGUCACUCACGCUAGACACCCACCAAGUAAACAUAUAGACACUAACAUAAUUUGGGCCGUCCAUUCCGUGAAGCUGCAACUAUAUUUCGAAAUUUAUAAACCUAUAACAAAAAAACAUAGUCGUGAGAAAUCUUGCAAGUUAACAUACUAAAAUUCAGUGCUGAACUUUUUGUAUCGCUCAUAUCAAUAGAAGCUGAUGACGGAAUAAGAAAAUCGAUGUAUAAUUUUCACAAGAUUGCCUUUCGAAUAUGCCCAAAACACUUCUUGUCGAACAACCCACGAAGCCAUGUGCCAUAUACUACCCUUCCUUAGACCUGCAACAUCUGAAUGCAUACCCGCCACCUGUCGGAUCAGUAUGCCACAAGCUCAUACAACAAACUUUAUCAUCAGCAUAUGGGUUAUGUGACAAAAAAAUUACUGUAUUCAAGAACAUUUUCGCGAGAUUGCAAUUUUGUAGCUAUGAACAGCAUAUGGUACAUACAAUGAAUCCACAACCAAGUUGAAGUUUGGACCAUGAUUGGACAAUACAGCGCAGAGUGUUGUAAAUUAACAACAAUAAUAAUAGGCCAUGACUGUCAACCAGAGAUAUUAUCAGCAAUCAAUUCAAAGCGAGGGAAGAAUAUAUAUCACAUUCAGGGAACUUAGUUGAUAUUAUCAGCAUCCAAUUCCUUUGAAGAAUCUAUAUAUGUGCAGUGUGAAAGCAGAAGGAGCACAACAGCACCAUGAAAUAGAAGACAAAUAUUCCUUCACGCUCACAAUCCAUGCACACGAGAACGCCGGAGAUAAAAGAGGGGGCGGAAAGCCUAUUACCUGCAAGAGGAUGGAGAGUGGCGAGGAUCGAGAUGCAGAUCUUGCUGACCAUGCCGGUGAGGUGUGCGACGGUGAUCCAGCCAAGAGCCGCUGCGCUUGGCAGGGGAAGGCCCCGACGACGCAAUGGAAGAGGAGACGGUGGCCAACGCCAGUCGACGGCAACGGGGACCUGGCGGAUAUCACCUCCAUCAUCCCAGACACGCCUUCAUGGUGGGCAUCCUCACGGCCCCUUGAAACCGCAGCAGCUUCUCCUUGCAUCCCCGUCGCCAGAUCAUAGCAAACUGCACACACGCCCGAAUCAGAUCAAGAUGCGGAAAUAACCAAACCAGAAGAAGUGGAGGAGGGAUUCGUACCUAGUCGAGGCCAUGGACCAGAGGGUGAUCUGCGGCGCCAACGCCAGAUCGGUCAUCGUGGCCGCGGGCGAGGGACGCGGCGGCGACCUUGUUCCUCGGCGGCGGCGGCGGAUCCUAUCGGGGCUGGGGUGUCUCCUCUCGGCGGCGGUGGCGGCUCCUCUCGGGGCUGCCUGGGUCGCUCGCCAUGAAGAAGAAGAUAGGGUGGAGGAAUUGAGCGAGGGAGGAGGAAUCGAGCGGCUUGUACGGCAGGGGGCCAAACCAUGAUAAAAAUCAGUACAACCCGCGAGGUGGAGAACGAAAUGACUUACCUAUAGCUCAUGAUUCGAUUGAGAUGAUAGGGAAGGAAGGAAAAUUGUGAUUUAGUCAGACAAAGUUUUGGAAAGUUCUGAUUCAGCUGAGAAAUAGAUGGAAAUAAUGCCUCGGGAUGAGGAGGUCACGAUUAGGGUAUGGCAAGAAGAACUUUUUUGGAAAGCUUUGAUUCUGGUGAUAAUUACCAUAUUCGAAAUUUCCUUAGUUAUAGUCUUACCAUACAUGGAUUGAUUUAUUACUAUAAUUAUCAUAUUUGAGAUUUCUAAGUUUAUAGCCUUACCAUACAUGGACUAAUUAUGAUUGAUUACCAUAAAUACGUUGGGUAUUGCCGGUCAGACAAGAAAAGAGAAAAACCGGUGGGAGGGGCUGGUGGGAGGUGGGACGAAGAAAAACCGGUUGAAAAUAAACCGGUUGAAAGUGGGGGGGGACUAUUCAACCAAUUCGUCCAUUAGGAGUAGAGAUAUCAAGUUUCCUCUCUAUGUGUUGAAGAUCUUGAAGCUAUGCUUGUUUUACCUUCCUAUGCUAGUUGAUUAUUGUUCUCAUAAGUUGUUUGCUCACAAAAUCCCUAUGCAUAGGAAGAGGGUUAGGCUUAAAUGUGUUAGUCAUAUGCUUCAUGAUGCUCCCGUUAUGUUUCAAUUCUUAUCCUUUCUGUGAGCAUCAUUGUCAUCAUCAUGCCUAGCUAGAAAGGCAUUAAAGAAAAUCGCUUGUUGGGAGACAACCCAAUAUUUAUCAUUACUGUUUUCGUGUGUUCACAUGAUUAUUCUACUGUAGUAGUCAUGUUUUAUAGCUUUUGUUUCAAUAAAGUGCUAAGUAAGACCUUUAGGAUAGCUUACGGUGAUACUUGUGUUGAUCCUGCUGAGAAUCAGAAACUUUUGCACCCAGUAAAUUAGUUUUCUUAAUUCACAGAAAUGUGCUUCUGAUCUUAUUCGUUUUUCUAUGGAUUGGUACACAAAUAUAUUAGGUCUUCCUAAUUUUGUAGGUUAUUUGGAGUUCCAGAAGUAUACGUUUGAUACAGAUUACUACAGACAGUUCUGUUCUUGACAGCUUCUGUUUUCUAUGUGUUGUUUGCUUAUUUUGAUGCAUCUAUGGCUAGUAUUAAGUGGUAUGAACCAUAGAGAACUUGGAAUACAGUAGGUUUAACACCAAAAUAAAUAAAGAAUGAAUUCAUUACAGUACCUUAUGUGGUGGUUUUGUUUUCUUUCACUAACGGAGCUUAUAAGAUUUCCUGUUGAGUUUUGUGUUGUGAAGUUUUCAAGUUUUGGGUAAAGCUUUGAUGGACUAUGGAAUAAGGAGUGGAAAGAGACUAAGCUUGGGGAUGCCCAUGGCACCCCAAGAUACUCAAGGAUAGCCAAAAUCCUAAGCUUGGGGAUGCCCCGGGAAGGCAUCCCCUCUUUCGUCUUCGUUCAUUGGUAACUUUACUUGGAGCUAUAUUUUUAUUCGCCACAUGAUAUGUGUUUUGCUUGGAGCGUCAUGUAUUAUAUUAGUCUUUGCUUUUUAGUUUUACCACAAUCAUCCUUGCUGUACACACCUUUUGGGAGAAGCCCACUUGAUUGAAUUUGCUAAAAUAUGCUAUGUGCUUCACUUAUAUCUUUUGAGCUUGAUAGUUUUUGCUCUAGUGCUUCACUUAUAUCUUUUAGAGCACGGCAGUGGCUUAAUUUUGUAGAAAUUGCUAGUCUCUCAUGCUUCACUUACAUUAUUUUGAGAGUCUUUUAGAACAGCAUGGUAUUUGCUAUGGUUAUAAAAUUGGUCCUAGAAUGGUAGGCAUCCAAGUUGGGUAUAAUAAAAACUAUCAUAGGAAGUGAAUUGGAUGCUAUGAUCAAUUUGAUACUUGAUAAUUGUUUUGAUAUAUGGAGGUAGUGAUAUUAAAGUCAUGCUAGUUGGGUGAUUAUGAAUUUAAAGAAUUCUUGUGUUGAAGUUAGCAAGUCCCGUAGCAUGCACGUAUGGUUAAAGUUGUGUAACAAAUUUGAAACAUGAAGUGUACCUGGCUUGUGCGUCCUUAUGAGUGGCGGUCGGGGACGAGCGAUGGUCUUUUCCUACCAAUCUAUCCCUCUAGGAGCAUGCGCAUAGUGCUUGAUUUUUGAUGGCUUCUAAAUUUUUGCAAUAAGUAUAUGAGUUCUUUUGACUAAUGUUGAGUCCAUGGAUUAUACACACUUUUACCUUUCCACCAUUGCUAGCCUCUUCGUACCGUGCAUUGCCCUUUCUCACCUCGAGAGUUGGUGGAAACUUCGCCGGUGCAUCCAAACCCCGUGAUAAGAUACGCUCUAUCACACAUAAACCUCCUUAUAUCUUCCUCAAAACAGCCACCAUACCUACCUAUUAUGAAAUUUCCAUAGCCAUUCCGAGAUAUAUUGCCAUGCAACUUUCCACCAUUCCGUUCAUCAUCAUCAUGACAUACAUUACUUUUGUCAUAUUGCCAUUGCAUGAUCAUGUAGUUGACAUCAUAUUUGUGGCAAAGCCACCAUGCAUAAUUUUUCAUACAUGUCACUCUUGAUUCAUUGCACCAUCCCGGUACACCGCCGGAGGCAUUCAUAUAGAGUCAUAUCUUGUUCUAGUUUCAAGUUGUAAUUCAUAUGUUGUAAUCAAUGAAAGUGUGAUGAUCAUCAUUAUUAGAGCAUUGCCCAAGAAGAAAAAAAGAAAGGCCAAAAUAAAAAAAGAAAAAAAGGAAAAAAGAAAAAGAAAAAAUAAAAUAAAUAAAAGGGCAAUGUUACUAUCUCUUUUUCCACAGUUGUGCUUCAAAGUAGCACCUUGUUCUUCAUGUAGUGAGUCUCAUAUAUUGUGCUUCAAAGUAGCACCAUGUUUUUCAUAGAGAGUCUCAUAUGUUAUCACUUUCAUAUACUAGUGGGAAUUUUUCAUUAUAGAACUUGGAUUAUAUAUUCCUACGAUGGGCUUCCUCAAAUGCCAUAGGUCUUUGUGAGUAAGCAAGUUGGAUGCACACCCACUAGUUUUCUUUUGUUGAGCAUUCAUUUAUAGCUCUAGUGCAUACGUUGCAUGGCAAUCCCUACUCCUCAUGUUGACAUCAAUUGAUGGGCAUCUCCAUAUCCCGUUGAUUAUCCUCGUCAAUGUGAGAGUUUCUCCUUUUUUGUCUUCUCCACACAAUCCCCAUCAUCAUAUUCUAUUUUACCCAUAGUGCUAUAUCCAUGGCUCAUGCUCAUGUAUUGCGUGAAGGUUGAAAAAGUUUGAGAUUAUUUAAGUACGAAACAAUUGCUUGGCUUGUCAUCGGUCAUGUAGAAUUUGGGAACAUUUUUCUAUGACGAAAAUGAAGCAUAGCCUAACUAUAUGAUUUUGUAGGGAUGAACUUUCUUUAGCCAUGUUAUUUUGAGAAGACAUGAUUGCUUUGAUUAGUAUGCUUGAAGUAUUACUAUUUCUUUUGUCAAUAUGAACUCUCAUUUUGAAUCAUUUGGAUCUGAACAUUCAUGCCACAGUAAAGAAAAUUACAUUGAGAAUUAUGCUAGGUAGCAUUCCACAUCAAAAAUUCAGUUUUUAACAUUUACCUACUCGAGGACGAGCAGGAAUUAAGCUUGGGGAUGCUUGAUACGUCUCAAACGUAUCUAUAAUUUUUUAUUGUUCCAUGCUAUUAUAUUACCCCUUUUGGAUGUUUAUGGGCUUUAUUAUACACUUUUAUAUUACUUUUGGGACUAACCUACUAACUGGAGGCCUAGCCCAUAUUGCUGUUUAUUGCCUGUUUCAGUAUUUCGAAGAAAAGGAAUAUCAAAUGGAGUCCAAACGGAAUGAAACCUUCGGGAGCAUGAUUUUUGGAAAGCAUAUGAUCCGGGAGACUUGGAGUUCAAGCCAGGGAAGGCUCGAGGAAGCCAGGAGAUAGGAGGGCGCGCCCACCCCCCUAGGCACGCCCCCUAUCUCCUGGCCCCCUCGAGGCUCCCCGACCGACUUCUUUCGCCUAUAUAAGUCCACGUACCCUAAAAACAUCGAAGGAGAAGAUAGAUCGGGAGUUCCGCUGUGGCAAGCCUCUGUAGCCACCAAAAACCUCUCGGGAGCCCGUUCCGGCGCCCUGCCAGAGAGGGAAUCCAUCACCGGUGGCCAUCUUCAUCAUCCCGGCGCUCUUCAUGACGAGGAGGGAGUAGUUCACCCUCGGGGCUGGGGUAUGUACCAGUAGCUAUGUGUUUGAUCUCUCUCUCUCUCUCUCUCUCUCUCUCUCGUGUUCUCCCUAUGGCACGAUCUUGAUGUAUCGCGAGCUUUGCUAUUAUAGUUGGAUCUUAUGAUGUUUCUUCCCCUCUACUCUCUUGUGAUGAAUUGAGUUUUCCUCUUGAUGUUAUCUUAUCGGAUUGAGUCUUUAAGGAUUUGAGAACACUUGAUGUAUGUCUUGCCGUGCUUAUUUGUGGUGACAAUGGGAUAUCAUGUGAUCCACUUGAUGUAUGUUUUGGUGAUCAACUUGCGGGUUCCGCCCAUGAACCUAUGCAUAGGGGUUGGCACACGUUUUCGUCUUGACUCUCCGGUAGAAACUUUGGGGCACUCUUUGAAGUACUUUGUGUUGGUUGAAUAGAUGAAUCUAAGAUUGUGUGAUGCAUAUCAUAUAAUCAUGCCCACGGAUACUUGAGGUGACAAUGGAGUAUCUAGGUGACAUUAGGGUUUUGGUUGAUUUGUGUCUUAAGGUGUUAUUCUAGUAUGAACUCUAUGAUAGAUUCAACGGAAAGAAUAACUUCGUGUUAUUUUACUACGGACUCUUGAAUAGAUCGAGCAGAAAGGAUAACUUUGAGGUGGUUUCGUACCCUACCAUAAUCUCUUUGUUUGUUCUCCGUUAUUAGUGGCUUUGGAGUGACUCUUUGUUGCAUGUUGAGGGAUAGUUAUAUGAUCCAAGUAUGUUAUUAUUGUUGAGAGAACUUGCACUAGUGAAAGUAUGAACCCUAUGCCUUGUUUCCUACCAUUGCAAUACCGUUUACGCUCACUUUUAUCAUUAGUUACCUUGCUGUUUUUAUAUUUUCAUAUUACAAAAACCUAUAUCUACUAUCCAUAUUGCACUUGUAUCACCAUCUCUUCGCCGAACUAGUGCACCUAUACAAUUUACCAUUGUAUUGGGUGUGUUGGGGACACAAGAGACUCUUUGUUAUUUGGUUGCAGGGUUGCUUGAGAGAGGCCAUAUUCAUCCUAUCCCUCCUACAGAUUGAUAAACCUUAGGUCAUCCACUUGAGGGAAAUUUGCUACUGUCCUACAAACCUCUGCACUUGGAGGCCCAACAACGUCUACAAGAAGAAGGUUGUGUAGUAGACAUCAGUGAUGAUGAUGGCGAUGAUUUCCCCCUCCUGAAGGGAUGUUUCCCCGGCAGAACAGCUCCGCCGGAGCCCAAGAUUGGUUCUGCCCAGGUUCUGCCUCGAGACGGCGGCGCUUCGUCCUCAAAGCUUCCUUCUUAUUUUUUCUAGGUCAAAGCACACCAUAUAGUAGAAGAUGGGCAUAGGGGGCCUGCCAAGGGGCCUACAAGGACAGAGGGCGCGCCCAGGGGUAGGGCGUGCCCUCCAUCCUUGUGGAUAGCAGGUUGCCCCCCUCUGGUGAUUUUUCUUCACCCAAUAUUUUUUAUAUUUUUCAAUAAUAUUCUCCGUGAAGUUUCAGGACUUUUAGAUUUGUGCAGAAUAGGUCUCUAAUAUUUGCUCCUUUUUCCAAUCCAGAAUUCCAACUGCCGGCAUUCUCCCUCUUCAUGUAAACCUUAUAAAAUAAGAGAGAAAAGGCAUAAGUAUUGUGAUAUAAUGUGUAAUAACAGCCCAUAAUGCAAUAAAUAUCAAUAUAAAAGCAUGAUGCAAAAUGGACGUAUCACGCCAUAAUAGUAGCGCGGUCACCCGCGCGACUGCUAGACAAAAAACCAGCGGUACUGCUAGGCUUUUCCCUAGUAGUGAUACAUAACUCAUAUAAUACUAUAUCAUCAACGAACGUUAAGCGUGUGAACCCUACGGGUUUGAGAAUGAUGUAGACAUGAUCGAGCCACUUCUCCGGUCAAUAACCAAUAGCAGACCUAGAUGCCCAUAUUGGUUCCUACAUAUUCUAUGAAGAUCUUUAUUGGUCGAACCUUUAUGACAACAUACGUAAUUCCCUUUGUCUGUUGGCAUGUUACCUGCCUGAGAUUCGAUCAUCGUUAUCUACAUACCUAGUUCAAUCUCAUUACCGACAAGUCUCUUUACUCAUUCCGUAAUACAUCAUGUUAAACCUAAAUUAUUAGUUACUUUGCUUGCAAGGCUUCUUAUGAUGUGUAUUACCAAGAAGGCCCAGGAUACCUCUCUGAUACUCGGAGUGACAAAUCCUAAUCUCGAUCUAUGCCAACUCAACAAACACCUCCGGAGAUACCUGUAGAGCAUCUUUAUGAUCACCCAGUUAUGUUGUGACGAUUGGUAUCACACAAGGUAUUCCUCUGGUAUUCGGGAGUUGCAUAAUCUCAUAGUCAAAGGAAUAUGUAUUUGACAUUAAGAAAGCAAUAGCAAUAAACUAAUGGAUGGGACUUGUCCAUCACAUCAUUCUCCUAAUGAUGUGAUCCUGUUAUCAAAUGACAACUCAUGUCUAUGGUUAGGAAACCUUAACCAUAUUUGAUCAACGAGCUAGUCUAGUAGAGGCUCACUAGGACACGGUAUUUUUUAUGUAUCCACACAUGUAUUUAAGUUUGUAGUUAAUACAAUUCUAGCAUGAAUAAUAAACCUUUAUCAUGAUUAAGGAAAUAUAAUAAUAACCAUUUUAUUAUUGCCUCUAGGGCAUAUUUCCAUCAAGGAAGUGAAGGUUGAAAAGAACAAGAUGAAACCUAGCAAUGAUUUAGAUGGAGCUUUGUGACGAGACAACCGAGAAAACUUGGAACUCCAAAAAAGAAAAGAUGAAGAGAAAAUGAUAUCAUGGGCGAACUCCGGAAGAAUGAAUUAAUCACCUCGGGGAAAUACAAAUAAGAUUUAUUGUAUGCUUACCCUUGAUCAACUUAAAUUGAGGACAAACAAUGGAUUUGGAAAACUACUUAUUCUUCUUUGAAAGGAUUGAGAGAGAUAUAGCACAACUUGGGAAGGUCUUCAAUGAACCACCGGUGGGAUUUUGCAAAGAGCAAAUUAAUUGAUACGAGAACAUAGAAAGAGGAAUCUUGAACGAACCACCAUAAGCAUCUGAAACGAAUGAAGGAAAGAGAACGAAUCACUGGGAAGAAUUAUAAAAUGAUGAAGGUACUUGAGGGAAUUUACAUAUAAGAUAACGAAGAGAUCACGAGUUGAGUAGAGAAUACUUGAAUGAUGUGGUGGAAGAAUUGGAGAACAAGAGCUGAAAGCUGAGAGUGAAUAAUUAUUCCAGAAUGAUGGCCUCCAGAGAAUCAAAACAGAACAACUCACGAAAAGGAUUUGGGACAGUCAUAAGAUGAAUUUCUCACGACCCGAAAUAAUUCUGAGGAUGGCAUGAAACUGACACCAUGAAUCUUCAAAAGAACGAAGCAAGAUUUAAGAGAAACUCUUCUUCGGUCUUCAAAGCUGAGAAUGACAAUGAGAAACACCACCAAACUUGUUGAGACACUUCAGAAGAAUGAAAGAGGAAGGGCUGAGGUAAAGAUGAAAACAAUUUGAAAGCGAUCUUGGAGAAGGCAUCUGACUAAUGAAAAAAUCAUUCUUAUGUCAAACUUUGAAAUGAAUUUGAGAAUAACUGAAGAAAAAUUAGAAGAGUCAGGUAAGAUCCUGGGAAAAGACUUGUGGCAUAUGGGCCCACUCAAAAGAAAACACCAUUGAGAAUGAUUGAUAGAAGAGAGAAUGUGCCGGCAAAGGAAAACAUUUAAAGCAAGGAAAAGAAUCUGAUGAACACCGAAAACUUGAAUUGAAUCCACCGGGGAAGAAAGAUACGAAGAAUGAUGAACUAGUCGUGAUUUCACCGGACAAACUUGAAACAAGAGAACGAAGAGACUUCGCAUGACUGGAAUAGAUACUUAACUAAGGAUUCUGGCUCCGUGUAGAAAAGGGUUGGCGGGUGGAAAAAAAACAUGGGACGGGGAAAUGACCCCAUUCGGAAAACUGGGAAUUGGUCUUACAAAACAUGAAGAGGAUCGAAUUAACUUGAAGAGAAAUGCACCGGCUGGAAAAGGAUUGACACCACAAUGAUCAAAAAAUACCCGUGUGAUCUUAAAGAAAAAUUUGAAGGGGAAGAGUAUUAUAAUCAAAACACCUACGUCAUGAUUCCUCACCAGAGUGAUGAAGGGGAUAAGGAGUAAAAAGAAUUCAUACUCUCCGAUAUAACUAGACUUGAAAAAUAGUUUUCCUUCUAGACUCGACAACGGCCAUGCUAAGAUCAAUCAAGGGGGAUCCUAUGAUCGGUCGAGGCUCCGAUACCAACUUGUAACACCCAAUAUGUGAUCCUAUCCUCGAGGAACUCAAAGGUCCCACCAAGGAUAGAGGCGCAUAUUGAAACGCUUUGCAAGAUGGAUAUCAUUACAUUGUACCAUGUAAAUAAUAGAGGGGAUACACACAAAGGCAUACAAUUGCCAACUGAAUACAUUAGACAUCAUACAGAAGAGCAGCAUCCGACUAUGGAUGAAAAAGAAAACACAAACGACAUCCACCCUGAUAGCCUAGGCUGCCGACUAGGAACCUAUCCCUCGAUCAAAGAAGAAGAAGCAGAAGAAGAACUCCAAAACAAGCAACCAUCACUCUCACAUCAAAUCAUCGCCUUACCUGUACCUGCACCCAUUGUUGUAGUAAUUUGUGAGCCACGAGGACUCAGUAAUCCCAUUACCAUGGGUACCAAGACUAGCAAAGCUUAAUAGGCAUGGAAUGGUUAAGUGGUGAGGUUGCGUGCGUCAUGCGCAAGGGUCCGAACAGAGGAGCUAAAGGCACAAGCUUCAGCUACCAUGACAGGUCAUGGUGGCCGGAGCUCAUGUUAGCGAGGGGCGGCGUCUACAAUGCACGAGUGGAGCAAAAAACAUGAUGAGGAGCGGAGCGUCACCGUGGGGUGCUGCUGGAGUCGUACGAGCUCGAAGGUGACCGGAGACAGAGGGAGGACGCGCUGACGGAGACGUAGAUGAAGAAGUAGAUGAAGCUAAUGUGCUGAAAGGACAUGCGGUGCCCCCAUGUGUGGUUUUGGUAAUUGAUGACACUCUCUAUGGACUAAUGGUUGCAUUGAGUUAUAUUUGAAGGAUUUGUCCAUAGGCUCUUCUUGAAGUCCAUGUGUUGGUUUCAAGGAGUUUAUGUGUUGACCAAGGUGCUAUUAAGAAAUUAUCCAAAGAUUGGUUAGGUGAGUGUUGUGCGUAUUGCAAGCAUGUCUUGAAGAACAAGAUUGUGUGAUCAUUCAUGUUUAACUUCAAGACAUCAUCCAAAUGAAGGGAGUUGGAAAGAUUCAAGGUUGAUCAAGACUAAGUCAAGAGUGAAUCAAGUUGAUCAACUCACAAAGCAUAGAAUAUGUACCGAGAGGGAUCAAGUGAUCCCAUGGUAUGGUAAGCAUUGUCCUUUGUGCUUUGUGUACUAACCCAUGGCCUAUGUGAGAGUUCUAUGUGGGGUUAGGUACGUGUUCAUGGGCUUGCGUCGAGAGGAAGAUAUCACUCAACCCAUAGAGAGGAUGACAUCAAGUGGUGAUCGUCAUCAAUAUUGCAAUGUGCAAGUUCAAGUUGAGCAUGACAAAGAGAUCAAGUGCUUGAAGCUUGUUGUCCAUUGUGGUGUCAAUGGACUUGUGAAGAUGUGCCGAAGAGUGGCUCACCCAUAGUGGACUAUGGGGGAGCAAUCAUCUAGUCUUCAUCGAGCCAACGCAAUCAAGAAAGGUGGUCCAACUUGAGGGAGUCAAGAUCGUCAUCAUCUAGCUCAAGUGGACCAUGUUCAAGGCAAAGGUUUUCCUUGAUAGGUUUUCUAUUUUACCGGUCUCAUGGUGGUAGUUGGGAGACCGGGUUAUAGGAUCGUUUAUCGUACUAUCAAGGGGGGGCUCUCAAGUUGGUAGCUUGACCGUAUCGUUAGUAGAGAGGUCAAACCAUUGCAUCCUUGCAUCAUGUUUCUUGGUUCUUAUUUGGUUCUAUUUGUGAGUCUUAGAGCUUAUGGUCAUCUUGAUGACAAGCUUGAGUUCAUCAAAAACGGAGUUCGCAUGCGUCUUCUAUGAUGUUUUCGAUGUUGUAGGUCUUACCGGUCUUAUCCGAGGAAGGAUUUGAUGACCCAGAAGUAUAGGGGAUCUAUCGUAGUGCUUUCGAUAUGUAAGAGUGUCGAACCCAACGAGGAGCAGAAGUAAAUGAUAAGCGGUUUUCAGCAAGGUAUUCUCUGCAAGUACUGAAAUAAGUGGUAACAGAUAGUUUUGUGAUAAGAUAAAUUGUAACGAGCAACAAGUAACAAAAGUAAUAAAGUGCAGCAAGGUGGCCCAAUCCUUUUUGUAGCAAAGGACAAGCCUGGACAACUCUAAUAAUAGGAAAAGUGCUCCCGAGGACACAUGGGAAUAUCAUCAAGCUAGUUUUCAUCACGUUCAUAUGAUUCGCGUACGGUACUUUGAUAAUUUGAUAUGUGGGUGGACCGGUGCUUGGGUACUGCCCAUACUUGGACAAGCAUCCCACUUAUGAUUAACCUCUAUUGCAAGCAUCCGCAACUACAACAAAAGUAUUAAGGUAAACCUAACCAUAGCAUGAAACAUAUGGAUCCAAAUCAGCCCCUUACGAAGCAACGCAUAAACUAGGGUUUAAGCUUCUGUCACUCUAGCAACCCAUCAUCUACUUAUUACUUCCCAAUGCCUUCCUCUAGGACCAAAUAAUGGUGAAGUGUUAUGUAGUCGACGUUCACAUAACACCACUAGAGGCUAGACAACAUACAUCUCAUCAAAAUAUCGAUCGAAUACCAAAUUCACAUGACUACUAAUAGCAAGACUUCUCCCUUGUCCUCAGGAACAAACGUAAUUACUCACAAAGCAUAUUCAUGUUCAUAAUCAGAGGGGUAAUAAAGUGCAUAAAGGAUCUGAACAUAUGAUCUUCCAACAAAUAAACCAACUAGCAUCAACUACAAGGAGUAAUCAACACUACUAGCAAACUACUAGCACCAAUCCCGGACUUGGAGACAAGAAUUGGAUACAAGAGAUGAACUGGGGUUUGUAGAUGAGAUGGUUCUGUUGAAGAUGUUGAUGGAGAUUGCCCUCUCCCGAUGAGAGGAGCGUUGGUGAUGACGAUGGUGAUGAUUUCCCCCUCCUGGAGGGAAUUGUCCCCGGCAGAACAGCUCCGCCAGAGCCUAGAUUGGUUCCGCCAAGGUUCCGCCUCGUGGCGGCGAAGUCUCGUCCCGAAAGGUUGCUUGCUAUUUUUUUCUCAUCGAAAGACUUCAUAUAGGAGAAGAUGGGCGGCGGAGAGCCACCAGGGGGCCCACGAGGUAGGGGGCGUGCGCAGGGGGGGGGCGCCCCCCACCCUCGUGAGCAGGGUGUGGGCCCCCUGGUCUUCAUCUUUGGCGACGAUUUUUCUUUAUUUAUUUUAAGGUAUUCCGUGGAGUUUCAGGACUUUUGGAGUUUUGUAGAAUAGGCCUCCAAUAUUACUCCUUUUCCAGCCCAGAAUUCCAAUUGUUGGCAUUCUCCCCCUUCAUGUAAACCUUGUAAAAUAAGAGAGAAUAGCCAUAAGUAUUGUGACAUAACGUGAAAUAACAGUCCAUAAUGCAAUAAAUAUUAUCACAAAAGCAUGAUGCAAAAUGGACGUAUCAACUCCCCCAAGCUUAGACCUCGCUUGUCCUCAAGCGAAAAGCCGAUAACAAUAAAUAUGUCCUCAUGUUUAGAGGUAGAGGCGUCGGAAAAAAUAAAAUACGGACAUGAAGGCAUCAUGAUUAUUUCAUAACAGCAACACAAAUAGAUUUUGUCAUAUGAUUAGUCAUGUUCAAGUGAUGAUCUUUUCACAAAGCCAAAGCAUGAAUCAGAAAUCUUAUUGAGCACCAACAAAUUAUACCCUCAGUCAUUGAAGCAAUUGCAAUUUAUCAUAACAUCGGAAAGAGUCUAUGUCAGAGCUCUAAAAGCAAGUCCACAUACUCAACUAUCAUUUAGUCCUUCAUAAUUGCUAGCACUCGCGUGAUACUUGUGGUUAUGGAGUUCUAAUCGGACACAGAGAAAGAUAGGGGCUUAUAGUUUUGCCCCACAACCUUUUACCUCAAGGGUAAUGUCAACAAUAAUAAUUCAUGCUCCCUCACAUCCAAUCAGAUAUAUAUAUAUAUAUAUAUCAUGUUCUUUCCAACAUGCUGAGCUUGUCAAAGGAUAAAAUGAAAAAAAUAAAGGUGAAGAUCACCGUGACUCUUGCAUAAGGUAGGGGAUAAGAAAAGAUAGGCCCUUCGCAGAGGGAAGCAGAGGUUGUCAUGCGCGUUUAGGGUUGAUGCACAAAAUCUUAAUGCAAAAGAACAUCACUUUAUAUUGCCCCUUGUAUGUGAACCUUUAUUAUGCAGUCCAUCGCUUUUAUUGCGUCCACAACAAGUUCGUACAAAGCUUAUUUCUCUGCACUAAUAAGUCAUUCAUAUUUAGAGAGCAAUUUUUAUUGCUUGCACCGAUGACAACUUACUUGAAGGAUCUUACUCAAUCCAUAGGUAGAUAUGGUGGACUCUCAUGGCAAAACUGGUUUAAGGGUGUUUGGAAGCACAAGUAGUAUUUCUACUUGGUGAUAAGAAUUUGGCUAGCAUGAGGGGGAAAGGCAAGCUCAACACGGUAGAGGAUCCAUGACAACAUACUUUAUCUCGGAUGUGAGAAAACAUAACUCAUUAUGUUGUCUUCCUUGUCCAACCUCAACUCUUUAACAUGUCAUAUUUUAAUGAGUGUUCCCAAUCAUGAAAGAUGUCAAUGAUAAUAUAUCUAUAUGUGAAACCUCUCUUUCCUUAUUACUUCCUAUUAAUUGCAACGAUGACCAAAGCUAUAUUUGCCAACUCCCAACAACUUUUAAUCAUCAUACUCUUUCUAUGUGAAGUCAUUACCUUCACUAAGAUCAAUAUGAACUCUUUGAUUCUUUUUAUUCUUUUCUUCUAUUCACCCAAAAUCAUGGCAAAACAAUCAAGCCCUUGACUCAACACUAAUCUUUAUUAUAUGGCUCACGGACUCGAUUACAAAGAAGGAUCGUAAAGCAAAACUCAAAACUAGAUCAUACCAUGACUUUAUUCUACUAAAUCAAGAUACUACUAAUAGGAUCAAACUAAGAAAAACGGUAAAGGUAGGAGUUGUGAUGGUGAUACGAUACCAGGGCACCUCCCCCAAGCUUGGUAGUUGCCAAGGGGAGUGCCCAUACCCAUGUGAUUAUAUCCUCGGGGGUGAUGGAGGUAUUGUCGAUGAUGCAGGUGACUCCUUCCUCAAUUUACGCUUGAGUAUAAUGUUUUGCUCUUUUAGGUCUUCGAUCUCCCGCUCAAGACUUAAUACUCUUUUGCAUAGUUCUUGCUUAUUUUCCUGCAAGAGACAAAAAGGGAUAAACUCGAUCUUUGGCUUCUUAGCUCUAUCAGGUAGACUUGACUUUUUAAACUCCACAUGCACAUCCCCCGGUUGAGGUAGCGGAACUUCAUCUUCGUCUGAGCUUGUUUCCUCCUUCUCCUUAGGCUCAUAGUCUUCUUCUUCUUCCGUGGUCCAGCCACUACGGUCCAAAUCCCCGUAGACCUUAGGGUCUGCAAGGUAAUCAGCCACAUAGCUUUCUCCCUCCGAAUCUUGAGAUGACAUCGUGCUUUUAAUCUGUAGCAGCAAUAGCUCGAAACGAAAACAGAGGAUAUUUGCGUGAUACGGGAGUCAAAACCUUCGGGAGUAUAUAUAACGAAUUUUUACCGACCAAAAUAUGUAUCGUGCAAGGAAACGGAGUCCGGAGGGCACACGAGGUGCUCAUGAGGUAGGGGGGCGCGCCCAGGGAGGUAGGGCGCACCCUCCACCCUCGUGGAGGCCUCGUGUCCUCCCCGGACUGCUACUCAUUUUUCUAUUUUUCUAAAUAUUCCAAAACGGAGAAAUAUUGCCUUAAAAAUUGUUUUGGAGUCGGUUUACUUACCGUACCACAUACCUAUUCCUUUUUCGGAGUCUGAAGCAGGUUGGAAAGUGUCCCUUAUGUAUUCCUCCGGGGUUACGUUUUUAAUAAUAUUAGUUUCAACAUUUAUAGGAUUACCGAAGAUAUAGUGUUUGAUCCUUUGACCGUUUACCACCUUCGGAUUUGUGCCUUCGAAGUUGUUGAUUUUUAUGGCACCGGAACGAUAGACCUCCUCGAUAACGUAGGGACCUUCCCAUUUGGAGAGAAGUUUUCCUGCAAAAAAUCUUAAACAAAAGUUUUAUAGCAAUACAUAAUCACCUACAUUAAACUCACGCUUUUGUAUCCUUUUGUCAUGCCAUCUUUUAACUUUUUCUUUAAACAACUUGGCAUUUUCAUAAGCUUGGGUUCUCCAUUCAUUAAGUGAGCUAAUGUCAAAUAACCUCUUCUCACCGGCAUGUUUGAAAUCAUAGUUGAUCUCUUUAAUAGCCCAAUAUGCCUUAUGUUCUAGUUCGAGAGGUAAGUGACAAGCUUUUCCAUAGACCAUUUUGUAUGGGGACAUACCCAUAGGAUUUUUAUAUGCAGUUCUAUAGGCCCAUAAUGCAUCAUCAAGUUUCUUGGACCAAUUCUUUCUAGACCUCUUAACAGUCUUUUGCAAAACUAAUUUGAGCUCUCUAUUGCUCAACUCUACUUGACCAAUAGACUGCGUGUGAUAAGGAGAUGCAAUCCUAUGAUUAACGUCAUAUUUAGCGAGCAUCUUACGGAAAGCACCAUGAAUAAAAUGUGAACCACCAUCAGUCAUUAAAUAUCUAGGGACUCCAAACCUUGGAAAAAUAACUUCCUUAAGCAUUUUAAUAGAAGUGUUAUGAUCAUCACUACUAGUUGGAAUAGCUUCUACCCACUUAGUAACGUAAUCAACAGCAACUAAAAUAUGUGUGUAUCCAUUAGAGGCAGGAAAAGGCCCCAUAUAAUCAAAGCCCCAAACAUCAAAUGGUUCAAUAAGAAGUGAAUAAUUCAUAGGCAUUUCUUGAUGUCUACUAAUAUUACCAAUUCUUUGACAUUCAUCGCAAGACAAAACAAACUUACGGGCAUCCUUGAAGAGAGUAGGCCAAUAAAAACCAGAUUGCAAUACCUUAUGUGUAGUUCUAUCUCCAGCAUGGUGUCCUCCAUAAGCUUCGGAGUGACACUUGCGUAGGAUCUGUUCCUGUUCAUGCUUAGGUACACAACGUCUAAUUACACCAUCUACUCCUUUAUAAAGAUGUGGGUCAUCCCAAAAGUAAUGUCGCAAGUCAAAGAAUUUUUUUUCUUUUGCUGGUAUGUGAAGCUAGGUGGUAUAAAUUUAGCGACAAUAUAAUUAGCAUAAUCAACAUAACAUGGAGUGCUAUGAGAAGUGCUUAUGACAUUUAAUUGUUCAUCAAGAAAGCUAUCAUCAAUAGGUAGUUCGUCAUCAAGAACAUUCUCUAACCUAGAUAAGUUGUCUGCAACGGGGUUCUCAGCUCCUUUCCUAUCAACAAUAUGCAAAUCGAAUUCUUGCAGCAGGAGAACCCAUCUAAUAAGUCUAGGUUUUGCACCUUUCUUUUCCAUAAGAUAUUUAAUAACAGCAUGAUCAGUAUGAAUAGUUACUUUAGAAUCAACAAUAUAGGGUAUGAAUUUAUCACAAGCAAAUACAACUGCUAAAAGUUCCUUUUCGGUAGUAGCAUAGUUUCUUUGAGCAUUGUCUAGAGUCUUACUAGCAUAAUGGAUAACAUUUAAUUUCUUAUCAACUCUUUGCCCUCGAACAGCACCUACAUCAUAAUCACUAGCAUCACACAUAAUUUCAAAGGGUAAAUUCCAAUCAGGUGGCUGAACAAUAGGUGCAGAGACUAAUGCUUUCUUAAGUAUUUCAAAUGCUUCUACACAAUCAUCAUCAAAGACAAACUGUACAUCUUUUUGUAAUAAAUUAGUCAGAGGCCGAGAAAUUUUUGAGAAGUCCUUAAUGAACCUCCUAUAAAAUCCGGCGUGACAUGGUAAACUUCUUAUACCUUUGAUUUCCUUGGGACAUGGCAUCUUUUCAAUAGCAUCAACCUUGGCCUUAUCAACUUCAAUACCUCUUUCAGAAACUUUGUGCCCCAAGACAAUACCUUCAUUAACCAUAAAGUGGCACUUUUCCCAAUCCAAGACAAGAUUAGUUUCUUCACAUCUCUGUAAAACUCGAGCAAGAUUGCUCAAGCAAUCAUCAAAAGAGGAACCAUAGACGGAAAAGUCGUCCAUGAAAACCUCACAAAUCUUUUUGCAAAAGUUAGAGAAUAUAGCCAUCAUGCAUCUUUGAAAGGUAGCAGGUGCAUUACAUAAACCAAAAGGCAUACAUCUAUAAGCAAAAGUACCAAAAGGGCAUGUAAAAGUAGUCUUUGAUUGAUCUUUAGCUGACACAGGUAUUUGAGAGAAACCAGAAUAACCAUCUAGAAACCAAUAGUGUGUAUGUUUGCAUAAUCUUUCUAGAAUUUGUUCAAUAAAAGGUAAGGGGUAAUGAUCUUUCUUAGUAGCUUUAUUUAACUUACGGAAAUCAAUUACCAUCCUAUAACCUAUGAUAAUUCUGUGAGGGAUCAAUUCAUCUUUAUCAUUAGGGACAACAGUAAUACCUCCCUUCUUAGGGACACAAUGGAUAGGACUUACCCACUGACUAUCAGCAACGAGAUAAAUUAUACCUGCCUCCAGAAGCUUGAGUAUUUCUUUUCUUACCACUUCUUUCAUUUUAGGAUUCAAACGUCGUUGAGGAUCACAAACUGGUUUGGCAUCAGCUUCCAAAUUUAUAUUAUGUUGACAUAGAGUGGGACUAAUGCCCUUAAGAUCAUCAAGUGUAUAUCCAAUAGCGGCACGGUGCUUCUUCAGAGUUUUAAAUAAUCUUUCUUCUUCAUGCUCUGAAAGGUUAGCGCUAAUAAUGACAGGAUAUAUUUUCUUUUCAUCAAGAUAAGCAUAUUUAAGAUUAUCAGGCAACGGUUUAAGCUCAAACACGGGAUCACCCUUGGCUGGAGGAGGAUCCCCUAGGAUUUCAAUAGGCAAAUUGUGUUGCAGAAUAGGUUCCUGUUUAAAGAAUACUUCAUCUAUUUCCCUUCUUUCAUUCAUGAACAUGUCAUUCUCAUGGUCUAGCAAAUAGUGUUCUAAAGGAUCACUAGGAGGUACGGCAAUGGAAGCAAGACCAAUAAUUUCAUCCUUACUAGGCAAUUCUUCCUCACGAUGUUGUUUACUAAAUUUGGAGAAAUUAAACUCAUGAACCAUAUCAUCUAAGCCAAUAGUAACAACAUUCUUUUCACAGUCUAUCUUAGCAUUAACAGUAUUCAAGAAGGGUGUACAAAAUAUAAUGGGACAAAAGCUAUCUUGUGGAGAACCAAGAACAAGAAAAUCAGCCGGAUAUUUGGUUUUCCCACACAAGACUUCAACAUCUCUUACAAUUCCCACUGGAGAAAUAGUAUCUCUAUUGGCAAGUUUAAUUGUAACAUCAAUACCUUCUAACUCAGCAGGUGCAAUAUCAUGCAUAAUUUAUUUGUAUAAGUCAAUGGGUAUAACACUAGCACUAGCACCCAUAUCACACAAGCCAUGAUAACAACGAUCUCCUAUUUUAACAGAAAUAACAGGCACGCCUACCACAGGUCUAUGUUUAUCUUUAUAACAAGGUUUAGCAAUUCUGGCAGUUUCACCACAGAAUUGAAUAACAUGCCCAUCAAUAUUGUCAGACAAGAGAUCUUUAACAAUAGCAAUAUUAGGUUCUACUUUGACUUGCUCAGGAGGUGUAUAAGUUCUAAUAUUGCUUUUACGAACAACAGUUGAAGCUUUAGCAUGAUCCUUCAUUCUAACAGGGAAAGGUGGUUUCUCAACAUAAGAAGUGGGAACAAUAGGAUCAUUAUAAGUGACAAUCUUUUCUUCAACUUUAAUAGGUGUAGCUACUUUUACUUCUAUGGGAGGAUUAUAUUUAAACCACUUCUCCUUGGGGAGAUCAACAUAAGUAGCAAAAGAUUCACAGAAAGAAGCUACUAUUUCAGAGUCAAGUCCAUAUUUAGUGCUAAACUUACGGAAAAUAUCGGUAUGCAUAAAAGAUUUAAUACAAUCAAACUUAGGUGUCAUACCUGACUCCUUACCUUCGUCGAGGUCCCAAUCUUCAGAGUUGCAUUUAAUUCUAUCCAAUAAAUUCCAUCUGAAUUCAAUAGUCUUCAUCAUAAAAGAGUCAGCACAAGAAGUCUCGAGCAUGGUGCGAUUGUUAUCAGAAAGCCGAGCAUAUUUUUUUUGCAUAAUUACUUCUCUUGCGAGCUCAAGAUUGGGGCAUGAAUAUAACAUUGAUUUAAGCCUCACCCAAGCUUGAGCGAUGCUUUCUCCUUCGCGAGGCCAAAAAUUAUAUAUAUAAAUGCGAUCACGAUGAACAAGAUGCAUAGGGUAAUACUUUUGAUGAAAUUUCAAUUUCAAUAUUUUCUAGUUCCAUGAUCUCGUAUCAUCACAUAGCUUGUACCAUGUCAAUGUGUCUCCCUUCAAAGAUAAAGGGAAAGCCUUCUUCUUAACAACAUCAUCGGGUAUACCUGCAAGCUUAAAUAGUCCACAAACAUCAUCCACAUAGCGUAGAUGUUCAUCAGGAUGCUUUGUUCCAUCUCCUGUAAAAGUGUUAGCUAGCAGUUUUUCCAUCAAACCCGAAGGAAUGUCAAAAGGAGUUUCAUUUUCAAUAGGUUCAGUAGGUUGAGUAGGUUGAGGAGCAACUCUUUGCUCUGCUGGACGGGGUGAAGAUACCCCGAACAAGCCCCUCAGACAAUUACUUUCCAUAGUAACAAGUGAUAGAAAAUUUCAGCACACUAAAUAAAUUUUUCCUUACCAAAUUCCACCUACCAAAGGCGCUUCACUCCCCGGCAACGGCGCCAGAAAAGAGUCCUGAUGACCCACAAGUAUAGGGAAUCUAUCGUAGUCCUUUCGAUAAGUAAGAGUGUCGAACCCAACGAGGAGCAGAAGGAAAUGAUAAGCGGUUUUCAGCAAGGUAUUCUCUGCAAGUACUGAAAUAAGUGGUAACAGAUAGUUUUGUGAUAAGAUAAAUUGUAACGAGCAACAAGUAACAAAAGUAAUAAAGUGCAGCAAGGUGGCCCAAUCCUUUUUAUAUCAAAGGACAAGCCUGGACAACUCUAAUAAUAGGAAAAGCGCUCCCGAGGACACAUCGGAAUAUCGUCAAGCUAGUUUUCAUCACGUUCAUAUGAUUCGCGUUCGGUACUUUGAUAAUUUGAUAUGUGGGUGGACCGGUGCUUGGGUACUGCCCUUACUUGGACAAGCAUCCCACUUAUGAUUAACCGCUAUUGCAAGCAUCCGCAACUACAACAAAAGUAUUAAGGUAAACCUAACCAUAGCAUGAAACAUAUGGAUCCAAAUCAGCCCCUUACGAAGCAACACAUAAACUAGGGUUUAAGCUUCUGUCACUCUAGCAACCCAUCAUCUACUUAUUACUUCCCAAUGCCUUCCUCUAGGCCCAAAUAAUGGUGAAGUGUUAUGUAGUCGAUGUUCACAUAACACCACUAGAGGCUAGACAACAUACAUCUCAUCAAAAUAUCGAACGAAUACCAAAUUCACAUGACUACUAAUAGCAAGACUUCUCCCUUGUCCUCAGGAACAAACGUAAUUACUCACAAAGCAUAUUCAUGUUCAUAAUAAGAGGGGUAAUAAAGUGCAUAAAGGAUCUGAACAUAUGAUCUUCCACCAAAUAAACCAACUAGCAUCAACUACAAGGAGUAAUCAACACUACUAGCAAACUACUAGCACCAAUCCCGGACUUGGAGACAAGAAUUGGAUACAAGAGAUGAACUAGGGUUUGGAGAUGAGAUGGUGCUGGUGAAGAUGUUGAUGGAGAUUGCGCUCUCCCGAUGAGAGUAGCGUUGGUGAUGACGAUGGUGAUGAUUUCCCCCUCCCGGAGGGAAUUGUCCCCGGCAGAACAGCUCUGUCAGAGCCUAGAUUGGUUCCGCCUCGUGGCGGCGGAGUCUCGUCCCGAAAGGUUGCUUGCUAUUUUUUUCUCAUCGAAAGACUUCAUAUAGGAUAAGAUGGGCGUCGGAGAGCCACCAGGGGGCCCACGAGGUAGGGGCGCACCCAGGGGGGCGCCCCCACCCUUGUGAGCAGGGUGUGGGCCCCCUGGCCUUCAUCUUUGGCAACGAUUUUUCUUUAUUUAUUUUAAGGUAUUCCGUGGAGUUUCAGGACUUUUGGAGUUGCGUAGAAUAUGCCUCCAAUAUUUACUCCUUUUCCAGCCCAGAAUUCCAGCUACCGGCAUUCUCCCCCUUCAUGUAAACCUUGUAAAAUAAGAGAGAAUAGCCAUAAGUAUUGUGACAUAAUGUGAAAUAUUAGUCCAUAAUGCAAUAAAUAUUAUCACAAAAGCGUGAUGCAAAAUGGACGUAUCAGGGUUCUCACCAUUUUAUUAUGGGACUUUUCUCAUUUGCUUCUUAUUGAUAUUUCUAUAAAGAUUUUGUUAGCCCAUGUUGUUAGCUUUCCAACAAACUUGGUUUCGUUGAAUUCGGAGUCUGUUUGCAGAAGUUGUGGCUGUUUUGGUAAAGGCUGCAGCGGUACUACCGCGACUAGAGCGGAUGUAAAUUUUUACUACCGCUCCAGAGCGGUACUGCCGCAGAUCCUGAGCGGUAGUACCGCUCCAGAGCUGUACUACCACGGCUCCUGAGCGGUAGUACCGCUUCGGACCAAAAUCUCGUGUUUUGCUCAGCGGAGGUAGGCACGGAAGUAUUUUUUAGUACUGCUCGCAAGUAGUAGUACCGCUACCAUUUGCGGUAGUAUCGUGAGGUCGAGCGGUAGUACCGUGAGGACGAGCGGUAGUACCGCUCCGGCGGUUCUACUGGCCUUUUGCCUCCUCGCUGUUGUUUUUCAAAGGGGAACUACCGCCCUAGCGGUAGUACCGCUCCUUGGAGCGGUAGUACCGCUCUGUGCGGGCUGUGAGCAUAACGGUUGGAUUUUCCCCCACCUACAAAAGGGGAUAUUCUUCCCCAUUGAACCUUAUCCUUUGAGCUCGUGUUCUUCCCCCAUUGUUGACUUUCUUCGACCUUGGAAACUCUCAAUCCCUCCAUGGAUUCCUGCUAGUUUUUUGAGGGAAAAGAGAGAGGGGAUCUAAAUCCACAUUUCCACCAAUCACUUUCUCCUCUAUGUGAGGGGAACCCAUUGGAUCUAGAUCUUGGAGUUCUUGGUCUUCUCCUUCUUGUUCUUCCUCUCAUCUUCCUCCCUAGCAUUAGUUGCUUCGGUGGGAUUUCAGAGAGAAGGACUUGGGCACUCUGUGUGCCCUUGCCAUUGCAUUUGGUGCAUCGGUUUGAGUUCUCCACAUGAUACGUGGAUGUUACAAGUUGAGAAGCUUAUUACUCUUGGGUGCUUGGUACCCUUGAGCUUGUUACUCUUGGGUGUUUGGACACCCUAGAGCUUGUUCCUCUUGGGUGCCUUGGUGCCCUAGAUGGUUGGUGUUGUUUGGAGCUCAAUCAUUGUGGUGUAAAGCUCCGGGCAGGCGUCGGGGUCUCCAAUUAGGUUGUGGAGAUCGCCCCGAGCAAUUUGACGGGUACCGGUGACCGCCCCCAAGGGUUCCCAAAGUGUAUGGGUUCGGUGACCGCCCCCAAGGGUCGCCAUCUGUACGGGUUCGGUGACCGUCCUCAAGUGUCACUUAGUGGAAUCACGGCACCUUUCAUUGCGCGAGGGCAUGAGGAGAUUACGGUGGCCCUAGUGGCUUAUUGGGGAGCAUUGUGCCUCCACACCGCUCCAAACGGAGAUUAGCAUCCGCAAGGGUGUGAACUUCGGGAUACAUCAUCGUCUCCGCGUGCCUCAGUUAUCUCUUACCCGAGCCCUUUACUUAUGCUCUUUACUUUGUGAUAGCCAUAUUGUUCUUUGUCAUAUAUCUUGCUAUCACAUAGUUGCUUAUCUUGCUUAGCAUAAGUUGUUGGUGCACAUCGGUGAGCCUAGUUGUUUUAGGUUUUGUGCUUGACAAAUUAGCCGCUAGGUUUAUUCCGCAUUUCUUCAAGCCUAAACCGUAAUUAUUUUAAAUCGCCUAUUCACCCCCCUUUAGGCGACAUCCUCGAUCUUUCAAUUGGUAUCAGAGCCUCAUCUCUCUUUGUUAGGCUUAACCGCCUAGAGAGUAAAGAUGUCAACUAGGGGAUUAGGAUUCUAUGAUACUCUUAGUUUCGAUGGCACAAAUUUUGAUGUUUGGGUAAUUUGCAUGCUUAAUCUCUUUAGAGUCAUGGACCCAAAUUUAGAGCGAAUAGUAGAUAUGGGUUUUUCUCCUCCAAAUGAUCCCCAAAGAUUAUCUUUAGAGGAUGAGAAAAACUCUUAUCUCAAUGCUCAAGAUUCUAAUGUGCUUUUCGAUGCUUUGAGCAAUGCAGUUAUAUUUCAACUCUUGUCGUUUCGGGAUGCUCAUGAGUUGUGGACGAAUCUUCAAGAUAAAUAUGGUGUGUCCAAGAUUUGUGGGGAUGAUUGUUCUCCCUCCACCUCCGGUCAUAUAGUCUUCUCAACUUCUUCUACUUCACCUAUGUGUGGUUUGCCACAAGGUAAUAAUAUGGUGAGUAGUGUUGGUCAUUGCAAUGAUGAUAGUAUGUUUAUUGUGGAUGAUCCUUCAUCACUAUCUUAUUGCAAUGCUCCUUCUUUGGGCUUUAACACUUCGAGCACUCCAAAUGUUUCACAUGCUUGUGUUGAUAGUCCUUGCAUAUGAUGUAGAAAUUGCUUGACUAAAUCUCAUGAUGAUAUGCUUGCUAUGUCUUGUUGCCAUGAUAAAAAUGCAUCCCUUUCCUCGAAUUGUUGUGCUAACAAUGUAGAGGAAACCCAACACUCCAUGGAACAAGAUGUGGUUUUAAAUGGUGCUACAAGGGAUCCUACAUUAUCAUCUAUUGCGUUUUGCCUUAUGGCCAAGGCUUCAAAGGCAUCUCCUACCUUGAACCCCAAUAUGUCUCUUGAUGAUGAUGUUGAUGCUAAUGAUGAUGAGGAUAAUGAUGAACAGAAUGAUAAUGUUUCCUCCUUAAAAACCAAGGGGGAAAUGAUUUUUAUAGCUCUUCAUAAAAAUAAAAUUGCUCGAUCCAGCUUCAUGGAAAUAAUGUCCAUUGCCAUUGAAGGCAAGAAAUACAUCGAGGAGUUGGAAUCUCAUCUAGAGGAGCAUGAGGUCACCAUUGAGAAAAUGGAAGCUCGUGAGCGUGAUUACACAAAUGAGAUCGCGAAGCUAUCUCAAGCUCUUGAACAUGAACAAACCACCUCCGAAUCUCUUGAGGAAACUUUUGCUCUAGAAUUAUAUAGAGUGAGGGAAUCUCAUGAUAGAGCUCUAGAGGUGGCCAAUGAUUUCAAAACUAAAAAUGUUAAGCUUGAAAUUGCUCAUGCUAGACUCCUUGAGGACUUUGAGGACCUCGAAAAUGGCUCUAGGGUCAUUAAGAGUAAGCUCAUCAAAAUCACUGAGUCUCAUGCUCAACUUAAAGCUUCCUAUUUGAAAGAGCUUGCCAAGUUGCCCUCUCCUCUUGUUGUCAAUGAUGAUGCUUGUGCUACUAACUCUUUUUCUUGUCAAGCAUCCAUUUUGAAGGAGAAUGUUGAGCUAUGGGCUCAACUUGAAUUGUUAACUAUCAAUUAUGGGAAAUUGGAAGAAAACCAUGAAAAGCUCUCAAGCUCUCAUGAUGAUCUUCUAGUGUCCCAUAAUGUGCUAAAGAUAGCUCAUGAGGCCAUCAUUGCUAAGGUAACAUCAAGUGAGCCUCAUGUGGAUACUAGCACUAGUUUUAGUCAAAAUGCUAUAUUGCCUUGUGCUAGUCCUCAUGAUUCAUCCAUGCAUAACAUUGGUACAUCUUGUGAUGAAUUGCUUUCCUUGCCUUGUUGCUCUCAUGAUGAAGCUUAUACUUCCUCUAGUGCUUGUGUUGAGACUAACCAUGUAGAGGAAAUCAAAGAGCUCAAGGCACAAGUCACUUCUUUGAAGAAAGACUUGGAAAAGUGUCAUGAAGGGAAGGCCACACUCAACAAUAUCUUGAGUGUGCAAAAAUCCCCCAAUGACAAAGGUGGACUUGGAUUCAACUCCAAUAAGAAGAAGAAGUCCAAGAGAAUCAAGAAGAAGGGCCAAGAACAAGUCAAGAAUUCGGCCAAGAUUAUUUGCUUUAAGUGCAAAAUUGAAGGGCAUCAUGUUAGAUCUUGCCCAUUGAAGAAGAAGGCCAUUAGUGACAAGCAACAAGGGAAGAGGCCACAAGUUCAAUCUCAUGCUCAACCUCAAGUUGAAGAAAGGCCACUUCCCAAGAAGACUCAAGCUAAUGCUUCUCUUGUGGAAAAAUCAAGUGAGAAGAAAGUGAAGAGUAGAUGUUGCUACUUAUGUCGUGAGAAAGGUCACGUCGCUUCUUCAUGCACUAGUGGUAACUUAUACAACCCAAUUAUUAUUGAUGAUAUCUAUUCUCUUGGCAAUGAUAAGGUUGGCAAUGUGUUUGCCAAGUUUGUUGGUACUCAAAGUGGUGUCAAGAAAAGAACCAUUUGGGUAGCCAAGACUAUUGCGACUAACCUCUUAGGACCCAACUUGGUUGGGGACCACCAAGCUCAAACUUGAUCAAUAGGUGUUGAUGGAGGGCAUUGGAGACUUGGCUACAUUAGGAAUACUUAAGGGGACUUCAUCAUUCUUAUUGUCUCAAGCCAAGUCAAUUGGAUUAUCAAGUUUCUAUCUUAUAUCCAAUGUGCCUCCUUGCGGUAACUUGUACUUAAAUUGUUUACAUUGAAAGUUACUUGCCCCCUUGCAUGUUUUGGUUUUGUUCCUUGCUUGUGUUUGUAUAUGUUGUGCUUCCAACUUGCUUAUCUUGAGCAAUCAAGUAUGUGUGUGUUGGUUUGCACAUCAUGUACGUGUGUGUCGUGUGUUGAGCCUUUAUGCUUCUUGUUUGUAUCCUAGUUGGCUCUUGUGAGAGAUUAAUGGAAUAUUCAUUUAUGGGGGAGUGAUAUGCUUUGUGCACCUCACAAUCCUAUAAAUGUGUGUACAUGAGGAAUACCAUCUAGUAUUGAUAUUACAAGAUUAUCUAGUCCCAAUGUGGUAUAUCUCUCAUGAGAAAUUCAAAUUCUAAAAAUCCCAUUGAUUAUCUCUUGUUGGAUCCUCUUAUUGCCGCUUGUUAAGUUCUUAUUGGUAUCACAUUAUGGGGGAGUAAUAUGCUAUGUGCAUAUUACAAGCCUAGAAAAUGUGUGCAUUUGAGAUAUUGUCACAUAGAAUUGAUAUUGUAAAUUAUCAUGUUCCUAGGUGGCAUGUUAGCUCUACAAGUUGCAAAUUGCUUGUGUAUGGUGUGAAGAUGAUGUUGGAUAUCCUUGCUAUCUACCACCGGAAAUUCUUUCCAUCUACCUCUUAUCUUUUGACAAUUGGUAGUCACUUAUGUGUGGUAGAUUUUAUUGAUCAUCUUUACAUUGGCUUUUGUUUUUAUUUGCCUUUUCUCUUGCCAAGGUUUGUGUCAACUCCCAUUGUCUUCCAUACCACUUGUGGAUCUUGUUUAUUUCUUGUUCUUGUCUAGUGUUUUCUAGAUAUAGUGAAAGUGGUGAUCCCACCUUGUGCAUUUUGUAUUCAAAUGCAAAUUCUCUCUAAUGCACAACUCGUGGGGGAGCUAUCCUAUUUUCUAUAAAACGCUCAUCUUGUGAUCCUUAUCAAGUGUUUGUGGGUGGAAGGCAAGCCAUCUUAUUUUUGGUACCUUGUGCCAUCAUGAAACUUUGUGGAGAGCUUGGUUUGUUUGGAACCAUCCUCUCUUUGGAAGUUUGACAUCUCUAAUUUAGUGUUUAUCAAUGGAUAUCUCAUUCCUUGAUGUAUCUUUAAUGGUAUCUUCCAAGUGGUGAUUUCUCCAUUUGGUAUCCUUUUCACUUGGCUUUUCUUUGUCAUUUGGUUUCGCUUCUUGAAAGUCUUGAGCAUGCAUGUUUAUUUCAUGUAUUUUAUUUGGCAUGCUUUCUUUCUUUGACCUAAUAUAUAGGGGAAACUCCACCUAGUCUCAAUUUGGAUGAGAUGUGCAUGAAAUUCAUCUUCAUAUCUAUAUGCACAUAUUUAUGUGGAGUUUGUCCUAUGUAUUGGUAUUUCUAACUAUUUGGUCCCAAUAAGUUUGGGUACCGUUUAGUUUGUGUUGUUCUUCUAGGAACAUUUGGAGAUGCAUUGGAUGCUCGGCUCACUCACAAGGAAGGUGUUGUCACCAUGUGCUUAUUAGAGUCAAGCUAGGAUGAUCAAUGAACUACUAUCUACCUUCAAUUGGUAUCUACUAAAUCCUUCCAAUGGUAUCUCGGUAACAAGUAUCAUCAUCUACUUCAUGCACACAUUUCUUGCAUCAACCUUGUGUAGGUUGUAUCAUGGCAUGUAUUUCAUUCUUUCUUGUGAUACUUGUUUCCUUUCUCAAAGCAUCUCAACGAUGAUCUCAUGUUGCUAGUUGUGAUGUCUUUGAUGGUUGUGUGGUAGGAAUUCAUUUAUAUACAAUAAGACCAUAUCUAGCCAUGUGCUAUGCUUCCAAGCAAAUAUCUUAUUGGUAUAUGUAUGACUUCCUUUUGGAUAUCAUGUUCCUUCAUGUUGUAACUAUGUCAGGUGUACAUCCUUCUUUGUAGACAUAUAUCAUCAUGAUUUCGUCUACCUAGAACCUUAUACACCUGAGAGAAUUUACAUCUCUAGAUGAUAUCCUUUCUUUCACAUCCACCUUGUCUUUCUUAUGUUAUUUCUUUGGUGGCUCCGUGAAAGCGUUUGUCUUGAGUGCGGAUCUUAUAUCUUGUUGCAUCUUGUUGCACUCUUGUGUAGUGCAGAUUUUUUCCCUCGUGCUUGUCUUUACGAGGCUUGCCAUCUUCAUUGGUAUCCCUCGUCUUGAUAAGGCUUUCUUUUUCCUUCUUCACCAUGGGUUGUCACAAGCCUUGUUGUUAACUCACAUUCUAGUGAGCUUGUGAACCCAUUUGCUUGUUGGAUGUGUGUGGGGACGACAUGUCAUGCACCGUGUAUUUCAUUUACCCAAGGCUAUGUUGAUGCUUUAUGCUCAUCCUUAUAUUAGUCUUCUCAAGUGCUUUGUCAUGACUCACACACAUCAUUUUGGUUGAGCCUAUUCUUAGUUGCCUCUUUUUCAUGCUUGCUCAAUCUUUUGUCUGUUGCAAGUGCUAGGCUUUGUUUCCUAUAUGCUCACUUACAAUUGUUGUAAGUUUCUAUUGACUUUGGGGGAUCUAUGAUCCUAUUUUGUGCACUCUGUAUCCAAUACAAAUAUUUUUAUUUGUGCACAAAUCAUGGGGAGCUUCUCUAGUUUCUUUAGAACACUCCUCUACUCAUAUCAUAAUAUCUUUUUCAUGUGGCUCAUAGGAUCAUUGGUCUAGUUGGUUCAAUUGAUAUCCUUUUAUUGCUUGCUUCAAUUGGUAUCUUUUGAUUGCUUGUGUCUCUCUUUGUUAUGUCUUCGUGGCAUAUCUUUCUUUAGCAAUCUUUGUGCCUCAAUAUAGUUUGUAUUCCUCUAAGUAUUUACCGUUGGAUAUGUGUAUUGCAUUUCACUCUCUUAUGGAGAAAUACACAAUUUUGGAGGACCACAAUUUAUAUUGGCCUUCUUAGCUCUGCGCCCAUUUUGGCAAUCGAUGCCAAUGGGAGAGAAGUUUCAGAGAGUUUUGUGGAGAAGUUUAGAGAGUUAUCUCCUCUUGCUUUGGUUGUGUUCCUUAGCAUGUGCAUCUCAUACACAUGCACUAUUGGGUGUUGCAUUGCUAGGGAAGCAUAAUUCCUUAUAUAAACUCUCUUGAAAGUGAUUGUCAUCAAUUACCAAAAUGAGGGAGAUUGAAAGGACAUGCGGUGCCCCCGUGUGUGGUUUUGGUAAUUGAUGACACUCUCUAUGGACUAAUGGUUCAUUGAGUUAUAUUUGAAGGAUUUGUCCAUAGGCUAUUCUUGAAGUCCAUGUGUUGGUUUCAAGGAGUUUAAUUGUUGACCAGGGUGCUAUUAAGGAAUUAUCCAAAGAUUGGUUAGGUGAGUGUUGUGCUUAGUUACCAUGGUCGCCUCUUCUCAUGACAUGGGGGCCGCGACCAAAUCUUAUUUUCAGAAUAUAUUCUCUGCUGAUUAUACUCUUGAACCCUCUGCUGUUAUUGAUCUAGUACAGUCACACGUUACUGAUGAAAUGAAUUAUUCUCUACGUGCUGAUUUCACCAAUCAGGAGAUUGCAGAUGCACUUCUCUAAACUGCUCUGCUCAAAGAUGGUUUCCCAGCAUGGUUCUUCAAAAGAAAUUGGUCCACGGUUAAAUUUGCUGCAGCAGCCAAUCAAUCAGCCAUGGUCUAUAGCCGAGCCGCCGUGCCGACGCAAAGACAGACCUCAAGGUCUAACACAAAAGUGGCAUUUUUUGUAGAAUUGGCAUGGCAGUGCAAGUCCUUGAUCAGACACUACACUAGGUAUGAUGAUUCUGGGUUUUAACUAGCUGACCUACUUGGAUCUGAGAGUUUUACAAGCCAAUCUUAUAAAAUCAAGAGGCAAGAGCAUUUCAGGCAAUGACAUAACCGAUCAAGGCAUGUAUCGCAAACCAGCCAAUUACGAGCGGAAACGUGGAUACAAGCGUAAACAUUACAGGCCUAAUACGAUGAACCAACCACCUGUUACAAGCCCAACCGACAUUUUCUAACCAGCCAAUGUACAGAGGGAAAACGAUAUUCCAAGCGGGCACUGAAGUGGCCAAUGCUAAGCUUCAACCAAAUGACCAAUAACGUAAAAGAUGUACAUAAUUGAUCACCUGUUUCUGAGUAGAGGAAAGAGUUCCUCAUCCCUUUGUUACCUACUCCUUCCGUAAUACAUCUAGAUACAUCCAUUUCCGAGACAAGUAAUUCCGAACGGAGGGAGUAACUAUUACCUCCAUUCCAAAAUACACGACAUUUUGGUAGGCCCAACGGAGGUAGCACCAAAGUAUCCCCAACAGGAAAAGUAAAUAAAUAAGAAAAUAUCAGCUCCUGCCACACAACAAUGAGAAAAGCUUUCUACUGCAAGCAUUGAGCAGAUAUGUAGUAUAAAUGAGACCUUGAUCUCAUACUCCCUCCGUUCCAAAUUACUCGUCGUUGAAAUGGAUGUAUCUAAAACUAAAAUACAUCUAGAUACAUCCAUACGUGCGACAAGUAAUUCGGAACGGAGGGAGUACCUCCAUAUGUGGAACUGAAAAUAUAACGAGUCUGCUCACCAUUAUGCGUUCAUUAAGAUGCAAUGCAAAGUCCAAAGCUGGAUCACUACAACACAUAGAGUUCUGAAGGUAGGGUUUCUUAACCCACUAGUUAAAUAAGGGUUUCUUAUAACCAACUAAUAGAGAUGAUACUACAGUGACAUAAAAAGCAGAACAGUGCUAGGCACCAGCACGAUCAAAGCAACAUUGCAUGCUUUCUCAAUAUUGUUUAGCUUCUUACGGAACUUCUCAUAGUCCUCCGCACUCCGCCUGAACAUAAGGGCAAUUAAAUUAGUUAGGAGAUAAAAAGGUAUCACUUUUUACUUUUAAAGUAUUACUCCCUCCGUGUCAAAACAUAAGACGUUUUUUUGACACUUUCAAAUAAUCAAAAAAACAUCUUAUAUAAAGUUACAGAGGUACUAUAUACAUUCUGCAACUAGGUUUAUCUCAGGCAAGUCACAAUUCACACAAAGUUCAUCACAGGAGCCCUACUUUGCGUCUAAAAAACAAGACUAGAGUCUGCUGAAUAAACAUGAGAGCACUAUUUCAAUAGACAUUCUGCAACACAUAUAUUGUACCAGAUCCAACAAUCCUAAUACUAAUAGAACCUGAAGCAGGUGACUCAAGUCGCUCACAGGAAACCCAAAGCAUCCUGAACUGCUUAACCAACUCAUUCUCAGUAUCAUAGAUAUAGAGUUGCGCAAACUUUGGCGACACGCCCCUUGGCGGCACCAACGAAUCUAUCCGAUGGUAGGCAACACCAUUUAUUUUAAGUAUGUAGACACCCUGACCCACAUUUAUGCUAUCAUCAACCUUCGCUCCAAGAGAAGUAAAAGCAAACAUCAAAUUAUAAGAUCUGAUAAGACGCAUAAAAGAAUUUGAUCGAGGUCCACCAUUAAAACCUCAUCAGCUCAUCUAUAUCUAUCUAUAUCUAUAUCUAUAUCUAUACCAAUAUAAAAAGACCCGGUGGGGCAGAUCCAACAGAUCUCGGCCAUCCAUUCACAUUCAUCCAACAGUUGAUAUUGUCCUAAUGGUGAGCGACUAAACACGUUUAACGCUAAACAUAACUUUCUCUUUCGUGAUCACCUUCCUUUGGCACAAAAGGAAAGAAACUGCCCCACGUCAAUCAAGAAAGAAAGGAAAGUACUUUCUCUUCCGUUAUCAUCUUCCUUUCGCACGAAAGGAAAGAAACUGCCCACGUCAAUCAAGAAAGAAAGAAGGAAAGUAACUGCUGCAUCAUCGCUCUGCCCCCAAAUCACCUCCAGCCGCCGCACCUUCACGACGCCUCCCCCAUCGCCUCCAGCCGCCGGACCUUCACGACGCCUCCCGCAUCGCCUCGAGCCGUUGCACCUUGAAGGACGCCGCCCCUCCCAUCUCUGUGUUGCCCCAACCCAUCGCCUCGCCUCGCCUCGGCCGUCGGCAGCGCCGCCUCCCUACACCGAUUGGCCGGCCGUCAGGGACGGCGCGCCUCCUCCUACACCACAUGGCUUGGCUGUCGUGGACGGCGCAUCCUCCUACAGCCAGCCGUCUGGAAGCCGCCUCCUACACCACCUAACAGGCCGUCGGGGACGCCUCAUGUUCCUCGGUGUUAUUUGCUGGCCUUCCGGGCGGCUCCGCGGACAACUGCCUCACUAGCUUCGCAUCCUCGACAUCCUCCAACCAGAUCUCCUUGUCGGGGAGAAUGGCGAGCAUCACAGUCAGCGGUGGUCUCCCUGUUCGGCUCUCACUAUAUCUGCCAUGCUUGGUGCCCUUCCGUGGUCGACAUCGAGCAGGUGCCGGCCGACGCUGCCCCCUCGGGUUCUCAUCUUCCACAGGCUGCAUCCACCUGGCCGGAAACCAACCCAGGCUCAAGCGACCACCAUGUCCAUUGGAUCUGUCAUUGCGUUAAGUUUGGUCAGUUACACGCCCUUGCCACGCAACGCCAGGUGUCAUAUUGAUCUGAUGUCUUUUUCUAUUCCAUUGUGUUAUCGGAAUCUGAUCAGACUCGCAUUUUCAACUAAUUAGCAAUUUCAGAUGUGUAGACGUCUACCUAUGCAUUUGUUCUCACCAAGAUGAAGGGAACUGCAUAGUGUUGUCCAUAUGAAAAAACCAAGUCAAUGUGAUUAAUCAAGUACAUUCACAAGCAGUCUGGUAUAAAACCGACCUUCCUGUUAUUAUGUACUCGCUCUGUAAACUAAUAUAAGAGCGUUUAGAUAACUAAAGUAGUGAUUUAAACGCUCUUAUAUUAGUUUACGGAGGGAGUAGAUGCUUAUUGUUUCAUCUUGCCUUACUAUAAAGGUGCAUAUUGAUGAUCUUAUAGAUGUUGUUACUUAUAUGAAAGGGCACAAAAGUAGCAUAGAUAGUAGUACAUCAAAUCUUGGAGUUGCUGCUAUGCUGAAGCUAAUAUUCUGAACCUGAGGUGACAAGAUGUAGGAUCUUUGCUGGUUGCAACAAGCCCCAUUUGAGAGGUCCAUCAUAUUAGUGAAGGAAAAUUGAUAGCUCAUUGCUCAGGUCUUAUCCUUUUUAGAAGAUAGUCAGUGAUGCCAGUACAAUAAAUUCAAAGAUGGCAUUUUAUCGUAUGUAACUUGUGGUAAUCUGAAGAAAAAAAACAUCAUGACAACUAGCCUUUGGUAAGUCUAUGUGCUCUAUUUUUUCCCUUCUACUAGGCAUCAAGGCCAGUAAAAUAUCUUCAUGCUUCUCCAAUCAUACUAGAGUUACUAAAACAUUAAGUCUGACAAUAUUUCUUUCACUUUUGUGUAUAAUCCAUUGUGCACACAAUAGUUGGUCGGAUGAUUGAUUUCACUGGAAUUUGCGCGUACUUAAGUCAUGGCUGGUGCAAAGUUAAUUUAUAGUUUUAUUUUGUUGCUAUUAAAUACUUCAGAAGUCUGCAUUUUGUGUAAUUGAUUGAAUGUGUUUUCUUUUGUGGUCAUAUGAUGAGUUUGUCAAGAUCGGGAUUAAGUAUAUGCAUGUGGUAUUAGGUAUCACCUGCUAUUAAAUAACAUUCAUGGAUCAAAUGUAGUGAUAUUAAUUUAAUAAUUCAUCAAUUUGGCAAAUGUCAGAGAUAAUUGAAGGUGGCACAUAUGUCCGCUAUAUAACCACUACGACACAAAUAUACUAUUAGAGAUGUGUCCUCCCAAGGACAAAGGGCAUCUUGAUGCAAGAUGGGAGGCUUAGAAUUAUUUAUAAGAAGAUUACACGUGCGUUGCACGUGCAAACUUACUAGUUCAUUCAACGGAGCAGGCCAGGGCCGAUGCUUUUUCAGCUUCACAUUACCCUGUUUACAACAAAGAUUAUGAAAUAUGCUUCUCUGAGACAAAGAGCUAAGAUGUGUCGCCCUUUCUUCAAACCAAAUAACAGCACCACAAUAGGAGCAAGUAUAAUCUGGACAGCCAAGGUAAUUCCUCUUCCUAUAAGAGGCUACAACCAAAACACGACGACCAGAAUUGCGGACAAUCAGAUCGAAAUAAACCCGGCAACAAAAGAAGCGACCACAAAGCACGGACACAACAACAAAGAUACCCCUGGCUAACCUUUCAAAUAAGCCACGUACUGUCU
Molecule: long non-coding RNA, 77111 nt
Filed under: Triticum aestivum (bread wheat)
Lineage: Eukaryota; Viridiplantae; Streptophyta; Magnoliopsida; Poales; Poaceae
Description: long non-coding RNA (TAES_LNC016627)
Rfam family: MIR1120/MIR1122 microRNA precursor family (bases 73448-73562)
Source: RNAcentral